UCGCCUGCUGUUGCGGCAAAGCAUCAGGCGGUUACUAUCUCCUUAAUGAAAGGCUCUUCGUUUGGGCAAAUUUUUCCGCAUACACACUGGUCGUUAAAUGCUGAGCAACAUCCUCCUGGAUAAUUCUGAAGCUUGCAGUAUUGUUUACAAAGAUUCACGUCACAAUGUCGACCUUGAGGAUCCUCCACAAGAGGACGACUCGUAAUACGUGGACAAGCUGCUGUGCAACGACACGGACCAGAUAGUCCUGCGCAGCAUGCUGGCUUACCAAAAAGUGAGCAAUAUUUUCUACAAAGAUCCCAGUUACAUCGUUUAGCAUCCACCACAAGAGGACCGCUCAUAUCUGUUUAAAACAAGGAAAGAGUAUACACAAACACAGUUUAAUAUAUAAUACAGUCCAAAGUAAACAAAUACGAAUGCUUUGCUAGCUUGCUAUGAAAAUUAAAGUUGUUCUGAUUAUUUCAAAUUUGGUAAAUUAACAUGUAUAUAGUAUGUAACAAGCUAUGGAGUUGAAUAAAUUACGAACCAGUGGACUGGGAGACCAACAGCAGGAGGGACACUAUUGCAAAUGACCUCACAGAGAACUCCAUAAUUGAGAAAGAGAGAGAGAUAAUAGGAAGCUUUAGUGAAAUGUGAGUGAAAGACUCCCUGCUUAUAUCUCUUUAUAUAAUGUUUUAAGUGUGCUACCAAAAUUGUUAUAAAAUGUUGGAAAAAUGCUUGUUGUACAUCAUCAUAUUUACAUAAUUUUUUACAGAUUGAUGAUGAGUCAACAAGAAACUGUGGAAUUUUUAAAUUUUUUUUUUUAGUUGAAAGAUUUUGACCCAAUCAAAUCUCGUCGCAUCAUUUGUCUGUAAACAAAUAUGUAAGUUGCGAUAUAUCUAUAGCACAAACAUUUACGUAAAACACAACUUCUUUUAGUGGAGGGUUUGCACAAGAUGUUGACACGUGGACUUGUUGAGGCUUUUAAAUUUGCUUCUGGAUAACUUUGCAUGUGAGUUUCGAGAGAAACUGCUACAGUUUCUUGGUCUCCUUCUUCUUCCUGAAAACCUCACUCGAGAUUCCUAAUAUCCUGCUCCAUCUUUCUGAUUUUCGAUUUCUUACUUGGUGAAGAUGAAUAAGAACUGAGUGUUCUUUGAUUUGUUUUGUUCUAAAAGGGUACUGAUUAGGAUUUGUGGUGUUAUCAGGAAUAGUAAACUUUUUGGAUACUAAAAAAAUAAGUCUCCAUAACUUUAUCUUUUGUAAUUUGAACAUUUUGUAUCAUGAAUAUCAUUUUGAGACUGUUCUACUGUAGGGCAUUAUUCACUUCUGUGGAUGCUUAACAAGGUAAUAGAUAUUGAUGGAAAUCUAAGCAUGUUGAUACAAAGUGUAAGAUUAGGAGAAUGGAAUAAGGAGCGAUAUGCGUUAGAAAGAUGUGUUUUAAGGUGAAUAUGAAGUACUAUUUUAGUAUGGUGUUUUGUAUCAUACCACUUUAGAAAAAUAUAUAUAUAUUGAAAAUAUAUUUUGUAUAAAUAAUCUUUAAUCAUAAUUUUAUUGACAAUAAUUUUAUGUACAAAUACUUUUUUAAUCAGAAAUAAAAAAAAUUUUCACUUAUAAUUAAUUUUUGACUUCUAUGUCAUUAUUUUAUUAUAAGUAAUUGUAUUUUUGUACUUUGAAGUGAAUUUUUUUACUUUUAUCCAAAGACUUUAUCUAUAAGUGAAUUAUUUUUCUCAUCGUAGAUUUUACUUGUUAACGUAAUUAUGCAUAAAUUUUUACUUAUUAGUAAAGUUUUACUGACUACAAAUUAUUUAACAUAAAAGUGGGUGUUUUACAAAAAGGUUAAUUUUUUACUUACGACUGAAUAAUUUUUUAGUUAAUUUUUACUUGUAUAAAAGGUCUUUUCAUGCCAUUGUAUGAUUGAGACAGAUGUAAAAUUUCCAACCACGUGUUAUACAAAUUUUAGAUUAAAUAUUAAGAAUAAAAAUGGUCAUCAUGUCUUUUGUCCAAAUCGAAACACAAAAAUAACGUGAACUAAAUUUAGUAACUAACGAGUAGAUACAAUAGUUUGAAAGGUCUUUUUCAUAUCAUUGCAUAAUUGCGACAAUGUAAAAAUUUUCUAAGCACAUUUUUAUAUCAAAGAGUAUUCUAUAUUAUUUAAAUCGAAUUCGAUAUUUUCUAGAAUUAUUUAUAGUAAUUGCUCCUCCAUAAUUUUUUUCCAAAUCUAAACACGACAUUACGAGUGUACCAAAAUUUUAAUAGGUGAAAUUUGAAGGAUCUAAAUGGGUUGCUCAAAAAGUCAAAGGACUGAAUUGAAGAUGUUGAAAACUUUGAGGACCAGGGAUGAAAAUACCUUGCGAAUGGUGGGUAGGAGGAGUGAAUGUUUCAUAGAACCUGUCAUGUCAUGCCUUGCUGCCCAAUUUCCUAGUGCGAGUUGGAAACAUAAUUUUUAAGGUCUGCGGGUAUUCCAAUCACAUUUUUUUUUCUUUUGCACAUUUUAAAACUUAUUUAAAUAGGACUUCGUAAUAGAUUGGAUGGAUGUAUUCAACUUUUUUCAUCUCCCUAUCAUUAAAACUUUAUAUUUUUAUUAUUGAUUGUGUCCACCUUAACACAGCUAUCUGCAUCAUGUCAAUUCAAAGUUGCUCAUUUUUUGUUAAAUUCUUGUUAUUUCUGUGGUUUGGUUAUUAUUUUAUUUUGAUGAUUGUUCAACAAUAAAACGUGUUUGUGAUUUAUAUUGUUUUCUAGAGGUUUGAUAUAAAUUAGCUCAUGGUAAUAAGCAACAUAGGGUAUGCUAGUUGAUAGAAAAAUCAGCACAUCCUCUGAAAUCGAAUGAGAUGAUCUUUGUGAAUAAUGAAUGCUUAUGUGUUCAAAAUUUAACUAAAAUUAAAUAGGUUCACAUAUGAGCUUGGAAUUGAUUGACCUUGAUAGAGGCUUUUUGAUUAAAACUGGAUCAUUGAUUUUCAAUUUAGGCAAGAAUCAGCAAUUGAAUGGUAAUUAAGAAGUGAAUUAGGAUUUGAACGGUAGAUUGUUGAUCUUGGGCUUUGCUUGGUAAUUUUACACUAAGAUCUUAAUAUGUGUUGGGCUUUUGAUACCCAAUAAAUCCCGGACUAUGAUGUUAACGAGGGUUCAUAUUAUUUCAUAGGCAUAGGUCGAUGAAUGAAAUAAGUCCAACAACCAAGUCUAUGAGUUACACUCGGCCCAAUUAUAUUUCCUCUUGGAUGACUUGAAUCUUGGACCGUUUACCUUUUUAAAGGUCCAACUUAAAGCCUAACCCUAGAGUAUAUAUAUGACUACAACCCUAGCCACUUUCUUGUGUUGCCCCCUUUGUGUGUGAAAAAACGCUUCUAGAAAUGUCCAAAACGCUUGUUUAACGUGUGCAAUUGGUGGUUCCUUCAUAGUAUAUUUUUAUGGUGUCUUCUCCUAACCUUUGUGGCCACAAAUCAUCAUCUUUUUUUGUCCUAUGUGGGUAAGAUUGAAUAGAAACCGAGGAGAAUUAAUUGGUUGUGGUUUGGAGCUGAUUGGACUGAUUGUUGGUUGAGAAAUGUGCGUUGGAUUAAGCCCGGAAAUCACCGAUUUGAAAAUCUUUCAAGAGAGUUUCCGCAACAUUUGGUAUCAGAGUUUCAAAGUGGUGGUUUUGGCUCUUGAAAUUUAGCAAAAAAAAUCGUCCAAAAAUUGGUAGAAUCAAACAAGAAAUUAGAUCGAAAAAACUGUCAAAAUUAGUUUCCAUUUUUUGCAUUUUUUGUUCAAUUCAGAAGGAGUUUUGGGAAACAGAGAUCAUUGGCAUAACGUGCAGGUAGAGUAGAACCCUACAGGGUGGCGCGUGUCAGAGAUGGUAGGGCGUGGCAUCAGCGCGUGAAGACCACGUGCAGAGAGAGUGAUGGCGCAUGCGGCACGUGGAGCAUUUUUUGGCGACGGUCUCUUCAGGCAGUUUGUUCCUUAUAUUAUUUUUGACAUUUUUUGUGUUGAAAUUUUUUGUUUCAGGACCUGUAGAAAAAUCUGGACAGUGUUGUUCUUCAGGCAUUCGGGACUGGAUCGUGAUUUUUUGGUUGCUGCAGUUUCUAGAGAUUUUAGGAUGAAUAGUGGUGGUCCUAUAGUGAUAAAUUCGCAACUCUCGUAAUUUACGGACUCGAGCAGGUCCGCUCUGGUAUAUUGGCUUAACUUAGUUUAAAUUUCAACAUUAGCAAAUUAUCGUGUGGGGUGAUCGUUAGGAUUGGGGAUUGUCAUUGCUUGACAAUCAUUGCUUGUGCUAGAAAAUUUAGGAAUUAUUUGCUCUAUUUUUGAAGUGUUGAGCUUUGAUUACAUGUUGGUAGUUGAUUUUGUGCUUAUCUAUCAUAUAAUCACUGUGUGAGACUUGUUGCGUGAAAAUUUGAAUUUUAUGUUUAUACACCUUCGUGCUUGCAUUAAUUAUCCCAUUAGAACUUCAAACAUUCCCUUGAUCUAAGAUCGGAAUCUUAUGAAACCCUGAGAAUCUAGAACGAUGUAUGUUGUGACUUUAGGAUUACUUUGUGUGAUCUAUUUGUGACUUGGUUGUUCUGUUUUUUUAUUUUCUCCUUAAAAAUGUCUUCAUACUUUGAAGUUGAAAUUUUUAAUGGGAAAUGAGAUUUUUCAAUUUGGCAACUAAAGAUAAAAAGUACUUUGGUUCAACAAAAAGUUUCAAAGGCCAUAGAUGGGAAAUUUCCUGGAAAUUUAACGGAAGCACAAAAAGAAGAGUAUGAUAAACUUGCAUACACUUCAAUUAUUUUACACCUGUCCAAGACUGUUUUGAGAAAAGUAGGAAAACUGGAUUCUACAAAACAACUUUGGGAAAAGUUGGAGGACUUAUAUUUGCUUAAGUCUACUCCAAAUAAACUGUACAUGCUUGAAUGAUUUUUCAGCUUUAAAAUGGAUCCUUCAAAGGAUCUUGAUGACAAUCUAGAUGUCUUUAACAAGUUAGUUCAAGACAUCGUUAAUUGUGAUGAAAAGAUAUCUGAAACGUAUAAGGCUAUUAUCCUAUUUAAUUCCAUGUCUGAUUCAUAUAGUUAAGAAUGCAAUUAAGUACGGUAGGGACACCUUAACACUUGAGAUUGUCAUAAACUCGCUUAGGAGUAAGGAGAUGGAUAUUAAGUCUGAAAAAGAGGAUAAGAUGAAUGGUGAGUUACAUAUUAUGAGGAGUAGGAUGAAGUUUAAGCAAAUUAAUUUAGGUAGAGCUCAAAAUAGUGAUGAUUUGAGUAGUGAGUCGAGUGAUGAAGGUGGUAAGAUGAAGGGCAAGGGACAGGACAAAUCUAUUGGUAGAAGGUGUUACAGCUGUAGUAAGUCUAGACACUUUAUUAGGGAUUGUCCCAAAAAGAAGGAUAAAUUGAAGGGUAAGAUGAGAGGUGAGAUGAAUUUGGUUGAGGGGUCGAGUUAUGACCCUAGUGAGAUUUAUUGAGAGUAGACCUAGUUACUGUAUAUGCAUCUGUGUGUGAUCAUUUCUGUAUAUGUGUGAUUGUCUAAAUUUUGUUGCAUGAUUAUCUGCUACAUUUCAAUGUGUUUUAUAUGUGCAUUUGCAUGAAUUUGAGACAAUAUGAUUACUUGGUGUAAUUGUUUGAAUGCAUAGUGGGUUAUGAUGCAUUAGCAGUGUGUUAAAUUUUUUUUGGUAUGGUAGAGUGUAGAUGUCUAGCGGUACAUUGUGGUUUGUACCGGGGAUGUAGAGUGUGACAUUUGGAUCACGAGUGGAGAUGUGAUCAAAUGUCUAGGAUCAUUUAUCUGUAAAGAGACCCUAAUCAGGUAGAGUGUGAGAGAGACACUUCUAUCACUUUUGUUAGGUGGAGACCUAUUAUCCACGUAGGUUGGGAGAAGUGAUGUAGAGAUAGAGAAUUAUCUCAUGGACUUAGGAUCUAUUGUGACUUGCUGAUUUGACAUGAGUUGAGUGAUCUGUUUAGUGAGCAUGUUGGGCAAUGAGAGGAGAUAUGUGUUCUCGAGGUGUGAGUAAUACGGAAUGGGAUAGGAUAAGUGUGAUGAGAUCUUUUCGUAGGGUCAUUUAUGCAUGUAUUGCAUAUGUGGUUGACCGUGGUUUGAUUGACUUGGUGUUAAUCUAUGGUUCUAUGUAAACGUGUUUCUGAAAAGAUCUAUGUAUGUUAUCUUAUAGUAUAUCAUUAUCACAUGUGUAUUUGCUUUUGAUUGUUUAUUGUUAAAUAUUUGCUUCUACUUGGGGUUUUUUUACCUUAGCCCCAUCGAGUACAUGGAGCAGGUAUGAUAUGUGUUUCAAGUUAGAAACAUGAGGUAAGGUUUGUGAUCCAAUUUUAUUGGCUACCUUGAUUAUGCGAGUGCUAAUUGUGUGUUUUGAUUGCUUAUAAAUUUAUUAGGCAUCAAGGUGGAGAUUUAUUGGGUUUUUGAUACCCAAUAAAUCCAGGACUAUGAUGUUAACGUGGGUUAAUAUUAUUUCAUAGGUAUAGGCCGAUGUAUGAAAUAAGUUCAACAACCAAGUCCAUGAAUUACACUCGGCCCAAUUAUAUGUCCUCUUAGAUGACUUGAAUCUUGGCCCGUUUACCUCUUUAAAGAUCCAAUUUAAAGCCUAACACUAUAGUAUAUAUAUGGCUAUAACCCUAGCCACUUUUUUGUGAUGUUUUGUGUGGUUUUGAGAGAAAAAUAUAAGAAUCCCGGCUGUCCCCUUUGUGUGUGAAAAAAGGCCUCUAGAAGUGUCCAAAACGCUUAUUUAAUGUGUGCAAUUGGUGGUUCCUUCAUAAUAUAUGUUUGUGAUGUCUUCUCCUAGCUUUUGUGGCCACAAAUCAUCAUCUUUUCUUGUUCUAUAUGGGUAAGAUUGAAUAGCAAUUGAGGAUAAUUAAUUGGUUGUGGUUUGAAGCCAAUUGGACUGAUUGUUGAUUGAGAAAUGUGCGUUGGAAUGAGCCCAAAAAUUACUGAUUUGAAGAUCUUUCAAGAGAGUUUCCGCAACAAUAUACUCUCAAAUCACGAAGUUAAGCUGUUAUUUCAGGGAAAAAUUUUCAUAACCUAAAAUAUUAAUCGUGUGUUUUUUUAAAUUUAGUUUUAAUUAAAGUAGAGUCUAUAAUUAAUCUUCAUGGGACUAGACUUGACUUAUCAUUAUAUUACUUGUGUACGAUCCAUCAUCUUUUAGGAUAUAUAUUGCAACACUUGAUGAUACCUCUUAAUGUAAGAGUUUAGUUUUCAUGUUGUUGUUUGUCUAUCAUGAUGAUGUGGAUUGAUUUUUCAAAUUGCAAAUUCUUCUAAAUUAUAAUGACGAGCCAACUAUAUAUAGGGGACAUCCGAAACUUAAUAGUAGAGUUAUGGUUGAAGUAGAAUUCAAGAAAUAACAUUAAAAAUGGAAUAGGAAACAAAACAGGGCCUACUCACUGUCUAUGUACUGGGAUACUGACUCCGUGUUUCAAUAUAAAGUUGUAGGCCUCUAGGCUCCUCGUCUCCAUUCCCAACAACUUUUUAAGAUGUUUUCUUCAUUCCAAAGUCCUCUUCAAGAAAAACACAAAUUUCAACUCUCGAUUAGAUUUCUAAAUAGAACUUUAACUAAAAUUCGUCAAAUUGACUUCGAAUAGGAUUCCCAAAACAAUUCCAAAUAGAAUUUCUCUUAACGUGCAUUUUAAUUAAAAUUGUAAUUAUUUUCAAUGAAAAAUUCUAGUCAUAUCCAAAUUCCAACAAUCUCUAUCUUGACACGAAUUUCAUCACAAUGAGUAAUCUUUAAAAAAUCUCCACUUGAAUACAAAUUCCACUACAAGGAUUAAACUUAAACUCUUUAAAAAAAAAUGGCAUUUUCCAUAAAAAAGUUUCCAACUGGAAAUAUUCUCCAUCUCUGCUAUCCCAACUAAACGAAUUCUAAUGAUCUCCAAACAGGAUUGAAAUAAAACCCUAUAAUAGAAUUACAACUAAAUGCAUUAAAAGAAUGAUCUUGGCUAGAAUCAAUAUCUUUAACAGCAUUCAAACAAUAAACUAAGUCAGCAGAAUUUUACCUAUGUGGAGUCUUAAGGCGUCAACUGAAUAUAAUGACACCACAGACAAUAGUUGUAAGAUGAAUUUACAAUUAAUUUCUAAAUUCAAUUGAGAUGUAUUCUUUAAAGAAGAUACCAUAUUAGAGCCUAACGGUAAUGAAUCCUACUCCAAAUCCACUUGAGUUCUUAAAAUAUGUUGUAUAACACUACAAGAUAUAUAAAUGGGACUUUCUAUGUCCCUUUAACAAAGCAUGGGCUCCUUUACUAACUUUUAGGACUCCACCUUCAACAAUGCACCUGUACUCCUAUUGAAUCAAGAGUGCUUAAGGAGAUAACAUUUCUCUUUAGGUCUGGAACGUGUCUUACUGCAUCAAGUGUUCUAACGAUCCCAUCGAACAACGCUAUUCUAAUCAAUCAAUAUCAACUACCUAACAACGUGUAUUAUUACUAAUCAUCACAAUACCUUUUGAAAUUACUUCAUAUGUUGAAAAUAAAUCCUAAAUGGGACACAUAUAUAAUCGGUAUCAAGAAUUUAAGUCUCGUCAAGUUUGGAGUUGUAAUUAAAUACAAGUAAAAGCUCUCAGCACUCUUAGAAUUUUCUAAAAGAUUUACUUCCCCUUAAGUUUUUGAUUAUUGAUUUGUAGUCAAUUUUACUUUAUUCUGCGAUUUAUAACAAUCGUUUAUCUAGAGCCCAUUUUUCUUGCAGUAAUUACAAAUUUGUAAGAUUUUGACUUGCCCCUUGCAUGAUUACUUUCAAUAAUGAAGCCAUCUCCAUAAACCUCAGAUGAAAUAAGAUGCUUUAUCUUCUUCUUUGAAUAUAGAGUAUCAUAUACUUCUUCGAUGGUGAAAUUUUACGACUAUAUAAAAUCGUAUCUUUAAAAGACAUGUAUGAAGUAGGCAAAUGAACACAAUAAAAUCAAUCAAAAAUCUUCUUAAUCAUAUUUGACCUCAAGGUCUCCAAAUUAGUGAAGAUUUCCUUAAAAAUGACAAAGUGAUCCUUAAGAGAUGAAACUUCUCUCAUAUUAUGAGAAUAUAGACAUUAUUUUUUAUGUAAUUUGCUAGUAAGUCUCUUAAAAAUGUAUACUUGCUCAAAUUUUAACCAAAAUGCAAUGGCUAACUUCUUCUUCAAAACAUUUUGAAGAAUAUUAUUUGAGAGAUAAAUAUAUAAUUUAGAUAGGGCCUUUUGAUCCCUCCACUGUUUUACCUUCAGAGUUGAAGUUGUGGGCAUCUUAUCAAAUCCCAGUAAUGCAUCGUCCAAAUCCAUCUGAGCAAGUACCGCUCACAUCUUUACAUGCCACAAAGAGAAUUUUAUAUUGCAAUCUAAUAGCAUAAUAUCAUACUUCACAGUUGCCAUCACAAAAAGAUCAGGUUGAGCUAUUAACAUGAUCAAAACCUUGAUCUUCCCAAAAAUUUGAAUACCAAGAGCUUUGUACCAAUUUUUUAUAUAGAAAAUUGAAAUUGGAUUAAUCCAAUACCAAUUUGUUGGAGAAAAUACAAGAUUAUAGGCACAACAUGAAAUAAAAUAACACCAUAACAAUGUAACUUGGAGAGAAUGAAGAUUUUAUUAUAAUAUGAAGAAAGAAUACAAAGAAGGAUGAGUCAAAGUUCUAUCAUUAGUAUUUUAAAUUUUUAAGGACCAUAAGUUUCGGUCACUACAAAGUAAAUUUUCAAAUUGUUGCACAAUAAUUCCAAUGUAAAUUAUGUUGCUUGUUCAACUAUUUUGACAAUGUGUAAGUUGACAGGGAUCCUAAUCAUUUAUUUGAAAAAUUAAUUUUCAAAUUAAUGAUCAAGAUCUUUACACCCCACACUGUCACACUAGUCACACAAAUUCAUUAUACAACUAGCUUAAUUUAUCAUUUUGAGUAAUGUUAGUUCAUAGUUGUAAAUAACAAGAUAUAUUAAUAGAGAUAUUUUAAAAAAAUUAAAACAUUAAUUAUACUUUCAACAAGGAAAGAGACCUAUAAUUUGGGAUUGUUAUUUAGAAAAAUGGAACCAGAUUAAUCCAAUACCAAUUUGUGGGAGAAACUAUGAGAUUAUAAACAGAAUAUGAAGGAACAUGAUGAAAAGUUUAGAUGUAGCCCAUUUAUUUUGACUCAAUGAGUAGAAUCAUACAAUUAAAAUGUGACGUGUGAAACCCUAAUUUGCUUUUUCAAGAGUUUUAUCCGACCAAUGAUACGUAAUUGCCUUUUACUAUAUAUACCAAACCCUAAACACGAAAUUUAGGUGAUUGAUCUUACUAUUUAUUCAUAACAUCCUUUUGAGAGAAAAAUAAUGGCUCUUCAUCUUUUACAUCCUGAGAUUCAUCAACCACAAUUUGGAAAAAAAUCAAGAUCACAUAAUCCAAAACACCCAUUACUUAUACACAUAUAGAAAGGUAUUUUUUCAAUAGCUUUCAGAGGUUGCUGAAAACUGAGAGAAGUUGGACCAAAAGCACAGGAAGAGUACAAGAACAAGGAAUCCUUGGUGAUCCACAAGAGAUAAACAAUUCUAGAAGAUCGAGAACAGGUGUGAGUGAAGCACUUUUUAACAGGUCUUAGAAAUUGCAGAAAGUAGAUCAAUGAGUCAAGUAAAAAUUUCUAGACUAGAUCGUACUAUAAGUUCAUUAUUAUCCAUAGUUUAGGUUAUUGAUUUGGUUUUGAAGUUUUAUCUACUUGAGUUUUCUUUGUCAACAUAUUUUGUGUUGUUUAUUGCUUUCAUAUCGUUGAUUGUGGCAUUCAAACCAUAUGAUAAUCUGACAUGAUUGAUUAACCAUCUAAAAAUAAUUAAAAAGUGAUUUAUUGCUUUUAAUUGUAUAAUUCCACACUUUGGGUCAAAAUAAAUUAGCUAAUUCUAAACUUUCACAUGAGAACAAUGAAUAGAUAAUGGAGAAAGAAUACUAAGAUUUUGUAUUUAAAAUGUUUUAACUCCUCCAUUAAUUAUAUUGAUGAGCUAACUAUACAUAGGGAACAAAUUAGAAAUUUCAAAACCAAAUAGUAGAGUUACACUAUUGCCGGCACCCUGGUGCCCAAUGCCGACUCCUUGUUUCGAUAUAAUGUUAUUAGGGCCUAGGCACCCCGUCUCCAUCCCAAACACUUUUCUUCAUUCCAAUGUCCUCUUUGUUAAAAGUUCUAGAGUAAUUUGUAAUCUUCAUCUAGUCGAAAUCCAAAUUGGAAACUUCAACAACAAAAGAAGAUUGAAAGAGUUCAAAUCCAAAUUGAGUACUUCAACCAACAAAGGCUUUAUUCAUCGAAUGGUCAAAGGAUAAAAUUUUCAAUUCAAGUUGUAUACUCAACUUGUACAAGCUAGAAAUUAACAUAGACAGCAAUCAAUUCACAUUCUAUUCAGCAAUCUGGAAAUUAGGCAGCAGCCAUUUGACACUUAUGAUGUUCAAACACAGCUGCAAAUACAUAUAUUCCAGCUAUAAAUGAUGAAGAAAAAAUAGCUUUUACCUAGUUGUAAUUAUAGAGAAUUAGUAAUACUACUUUAUUCAAUGUUUUUUUAUAAAUAGGAAGGUAUCCAUCUAGUGUUAUGUAUGUAGAAGAAGUGAGAAAAAUCUCUCAAAAAAAUAAAGAAAGAGUGUGUUGUAGCAACGUCAUUUGUGAUUCCUUAAAUUUCAUAAGAAAAAUUUCAUAUUUCUCUUAUCUAUUUCCUUCUACACCCAACACUCUUAAAGUCUAUCACAAAUUCCAAUUUCCAAUUGGACUUCCUAAUAGAAUUUCAACUAGAAUUCGCCAAAUAAAUUUCAAAUAGGAUUCCAAAUAAUCAUUCUAAAUAGAAUUUUUCUUAACCUGCACUUUGAUUAGAGUUCUCAAUUAUCUUCAAAAAAGAAUUCCGGUCAAACUCAAAUUCUAACAAGACAAACAAAAAAGGAAAGUAAAACUAUAUUUGUGGGACGGACAAAGAUUAUAUUUCAUUUAAUUUUGACUAAAUUUAAAAUAAGACAAUUUUAAUGUGUCCGAGACAAAAAUCUUAGGGCCAUGGGACCAUUAAUCAAUUUCCCUUGGAGCUUACUUUGAAUAAUUAAUAAUUUUACAUACGUAAGUACACAGCUAAGUCAUUGAAAUAAAAUCUAAGUAUGCAAUUAUGAAACUUUUCCUCCAAUUAUGUUACUGAACUUCUGUAUAUUCGCCUAUAUUUUGAUAGACUAAUCCAAAGUUUAUGUCGCACUCAAGCCGGAGAAAAAUUACAUGCUUGCAGCAAAUCCAUUUUAUGAUAUGAGUAAUAAAUUGAAAUUUAAAAAAAAAAGUUAGUAAUAAUUGAAUUUCUAUAAAUAUAUACUCGACAACCUCUAGUACCUUUUACCUUUAAUGUAUAGAAAAACUUAAAUAAAAAUAAAAAAUAAAAAAUAAACUAAAACUAAAACACAAAAUGAACAAGGCUUGUUAACUACCAAAUGGAAAAUUUAUGCUCUUAGUCGUACUUUUGAGUACAUAAUAUAGCCCAAAAAAAAUUUGCAUAUAAUGUUUUGAGACUAAUAUCAUAUAGCUAGAAGAAUUAGAUGAAAAUAAUGAUAUCUUCCAUUCUUGCAUUACUAGGUCUUUAAAUUGAAUUAAAAAAUUGAAAUUAAAAAAAAAGAGUAAUAAUUGAAUUUCUGUAAAUAUAUACUCGACGACCUCCAGUACCUUUUACCUUUAAUGUAUAGAAAAACUUAAAUAAAAUAAAAAUGAAAAUAAUAAAAAAAACUAAAACUAAAACACAAAAUGAACAAGGCUUGUUAACUGCCAAAUGGAAAGUUUAUGCUCUUAGUCGUACUUUUGAGUACAUAAUAUAGCCAAAAAAAAAUUGUAUAUAAUGUUUUGAGACUAAUAUCAUAUAGCUGGAAGAAAUUAGACGAAAAUAAUGAUAUCUUGCAUUACUAGGUUUUAUUUUCAUGAAAAUGUCAUAACAUUGCUAAAAUCGCUUUCCUCUUUAACCAUCUUUGUCCCUGCCACUGAUCAACCUAAGAUUUUUCCUAACCUUGAACCCAAUAAUAAGGGAAUCAUAGAACAGAGGCCUACUAGACAGCGUAGGUUCUACCAACCUAGGAAUAGAAGAAAUCAGCGAAUACAUAACUUUGGUCCUAGGUUUAUCCCUACGUGUUUCAAGCCUGAAGAGUUAAGAUAUAUAAAGUCUAGGUGUCAUAAAUUCCUAACCAAAAAUAGAAUCCUUCAAGUGGUAUCUAGUAAUUUUCAAGUGGUAUCAGAGCUAACUAAAAAUAAUAAUUAGGAUUUUGAUAAUCGAAUUGACUUCCUUAGUAAUUAGGUGAGUCAAUAGACUGAGUUAAUUGUUGAGGUUGUUCCACAUCGGUUGUGAAUGGGGUUGGUAUUGAGUUUUAUAAAUGCCGAGAAAACUUAACCUCUUGAGAUAGCUUUUGGGGUGAAAAAGGCUCAAUACCACCCAACACUAGUAUCAGAGCUCGACUUAUCAACAAGUCUCUAGCCCAACAGUCACAUAGAUAUGGAUUUGUGUGAGGGGGAGAUGGUUUUGGUUUUCCGUAGGCCCUAUUUUAUGAGGGGAAACGGGUUUGGUCUCCCGUAGGGCCUGAUGUGUGGACUAGACAUGUUUGAUUUUCGACAAAGCCUGAUAUGUAAGGGGGAGAUUAUUGAGGUUGUCCCACAUCGGUUGUGGAUGGGGUUGGUAUUCAAUUUAUAAUUGUAAGAAAAUUUCUAACCUCUUGAACUAGCUUUUGGAGUGAGAAAGGCCCAAUACUACCCAACAUUAAUGACAUAAUAAACUAGGAUCAAUUCCUCUACUAGGAAAGUUUGGGUGAAGAAAAGUGAUCUUAAAAAUCUUGAAAUAGAUCACUAUGCUCUUAUAGGUAAGAGCAUUUUUAUGUUUUAGGUUCAUAUAUGUGCUUCUUCAAAUAAUUUCCAUUGGCACAUGCAUAUUUUUUUGUGUUUUUGUGUGUUGAAUUUUUUUAUUUUGUGUGUUAGAUGCAUUCAUGUUAAAAAAAAUGAGGGGAGACGUUUUUAACUAUAGUAUGAUAAAUGAUAUACUUGAGCUUGUGUGUUGUGACCAAGUAUGAGCAUAAUCGAUGUACCGUGGCGUAUUUUCCAAUACUUUGUUUAGAUUUUUAUGAAGUACUUAGUACAGGUUUCUUCAUGUACCAUCUACACUGCACGCACUAUGAUAGUAUGAGUGGAACUUGACCACAUGUGUGAGAUUUGGGAUGUCAGUCGCAUGUUGGUAAAGUGAUCUUGAACAUGAAUUGAUUUUAUUUUAGUUAACCUAAGUCUAAGUAUAUUCCCUUAAAAAUGACUAAAUAUCAUGUGCUCUUCUUUAGAGCUUAUAUAACUCAAGCAAUUAAACAUGCGAGAUUUCUCAUAACCUGGUACCUCUGGUCAACUAACUUGGGUUAACCGGCCUAAAGUUCGUUACAAGGGUCAUCUUAGUCGAUUAAUGUAGAAGAGUCUGCAUAUAAGAUAUGAAAAAUUGAUGAGAAAAAUGACGAGCUUCAAAAUUUAGAAAAUGUGUAGAAAAUAUGUAUGCUCAAAGUCAUGGGGAGAAAAUAAUAAUGUACAUGCAAAAAGAGCUUCUUUAUAGGUCCUAUAUGCACUAAUCUGUUUGACUUUCAUUAGUAGAGGAAUAAACAUAUUGACAGUGAUAUAUAGCAUGUUCUUUCUCCCAAAAUUAAGGUUUGGAAUCAUGCUUACAAAGGACUAGUGACACUUUACACACAUGAGUAACUUAUACAAUUUACUCCAUUUUAGCUUGAACUGAGUAAAGUUUACUAAUCAUUGACUAUGUUUGCACAUGCUAUGAAUUGCAUCUUUGAGUUGAUAUGUAUUAAUGUUCAAUUGUUUUUUUUAUAAAGUUUCCAUCAUCAUUUGUGACAAAAAUGGGGAGAGAGAGUUUUGAUUGUUGGGUGAGUCUGCAGUAAGGGGGAGAGAUGAUCGUAAGAGGGAGUUGAUUGUAUUUUUUGCAUUCAUGGCAUUCUAUAUCAUAAUGCAUAGCUUUUUUGAGUUUUAAUUUUUUGUGAUAUUAAUGUUUCAUUUGGUGCUUUGAUUAGUGAAAUAUCGUAGUUCGACCCAAUCAACACCUAGAGGGAGGUGAAUAGGUGUUUGUGGAAUUUUCUUUUUCAAUCAAUUAAUAAUUGCAACACAUCACAAAUAUUAAUUUGUCCAAAUCAAUUCACAUGCGUUACUAUCCUAUGUUUGAAUACCGGUAAUAAACUAAUAGCAGAAAAGUAAAUAACGCAAUUGUUUGUUGACGGAGAAACCCCAAGGUAGGUAAAACUCUAGGCCCAAGCCAGUAGGAAUCCACUAUAAAUGAAAAUACAACUUACAAUAUGUCAGACUCAACCCAUACUGAUUUUUCUGACCUCCCGACUAUAAUUUCCUCAAAGCCUUCUUGGAAUGCUUGAUCAUGCACCAACUCCCAGCUCCUAGCCCUCCUGAAUUGUGUGCUACACCAAUUCUCGGCUCUUGAUUUCGUCUAUCUCCUGUGGAUUCAAGAGAACUGCCUGUUCUCUAACGAUCGGGACUCUGAUCUCUUUCCUUGAUCUCCAAGAAUCAACAAAAGCAAGAAGGUUGUAUUGUGACGUUUGAUGAAUGUAGAUUUGAUGUUUCUAGAUGAUUGCGUGUAUCAAAUGUGGGAUUAAAUGAAUGAAUCAAGUGUAGAGAGUUUUUCUUUAAUUUCAAUCCUUAUGAGAGACGUAUGAAAAUCAGCGCAAUUUAAUUUAUAUAAAGUGUAUUAGGACAUUUGGGUUAGGUCAAAAUGUCAAAAAAAGGAAAAUAGGGUUUUCUAGGUAAUACCGUCACUCGAGCGAGAAGCAAGUUAAUUAUUGCCUUGUCUUCUUUCAACAUGUUUUCUAAAAUCACAACUCACAUACCCAGUGUAAAAGCACAAGACACAGUAAUAUAAGUUAUCAUAAUAAAGACAAACAGUCAUGCAUAGCCAUAAUAUUGUCCCAAAAUGCUAGAUUAAGAUACAAUAUCAAUGUAAGUCAAAUCACCAAAACAUACAUCAAUAUUUCAAAAACAUCAAAACAUAAUCUAACAAAAAUAGCAAAAUUGCAGUAUCAAUCAUUACAAUAGCAAAAUUGCAGUAUCAAUCAUUACAAUUCCCAAUGCUACUCCCCCUUUUUUUCAUAAAUGGCAAGGGGAACUCUAAGCAACUAAGUAUGACCAUCAUCUCCGCCAUCCACGUCCUCAUAAUCGUCAACCUUAGACUCAUAAUCCCAGUACUCACGCAUCCAUCGAAUACUGUGCUGAACCAGGGCAAUAGCCCCCCGCAAUGUAGCAAACUCCGCAGUAUGACGCUCGGAAGCAGCUCGUAACUGAGUAAUGUCGGCCAUCAUGCAGGCCUAUUGCUCAAUGAGAAUCGACAUUUGAUCCAUAAGCGCGACAGUGGGGUCAAUAGAAGCAGUAGCCGGAGCAGGCGAGGCGGGUGGUGGAACAGAAGUGGAAGAAGAGGGAAUAUCGGAAGUGGAUGGAGGAACAUCUGAAGAAGGUGGAGGAAUAGUGAAGAGACUUGAGAGUAAAUCACCUAAAGGAUCAGCGGGCACUGUCGAAUCGACAGGCUCAGCUGGCUCAGCAGGAGCAGAUGCAGAUGCAGAAGCGAAAAGCUGACAUGUAACCUAUUCUGAGAGAUGGUAGUGUGCCCUAUGGGACGAAGAGCUCGCCGUGACACCCCAUCGGGAAAUAAAACCCCAAGUGAUGUCACUAAGCGAUAGAUCAAGCAAGCAUAGAGAAGACCAAUCCAAUGACUGGGAAACCGAAAAGUGUGCAAAAUAUGCUGGCAAAUGAAAGUGGAUAGGUUAAUCAAAUCCCUAUAUAGCAGAGCAUAGAGAAAUCUUACCUUUUCCAUAGGCAGGGAAGAAGUGUGAGAGACCGACCACAGAUUUGUACACACAAUGUGCAACAAAAUCUGUCGAUCAGUGGGGAGCAAACCAGUGCGGAUCGCCUUAGGCCCACCUCCCAAUGGACUAUUAAACAGAGUGGACCGAACAAGAGAGUCAGCCGAAAUAUAAUCAGCUGAGAGAUAUGGGUAAACAGGGUGAAUGACCCGGGGAACAUGUAUGGAACUGGAAAUAACAUCUGGUGAAAUCCUAAGUAUCUGAUCCCGAAGGAACACCCUAAAGGACAACUCACUAAUGUCCUAAAUGUUCGUAUAGAACUCCUAAACAAGGAGACUAGGUGGGGGAUUUAAACCUAUCAGUAAAGAUUCCUAACCUCAUGAGGUGAGAAUGGCAGCUAAAUCAGGUGGUAAGUCAGAUAGGGUGACCUCACGCUCAACUAAGAUAGGACGCAGUGAAAACUGACUCCCAAACACUUCCUGUGCAGUAGAAGAAAUAAACUUUGACCUACUAAACGAUGUUGAACCACUAGCUGGUAAAGCUGUAGUGUGAGCCCUCUUAGGUACCAUAUGAAAAAAGGAUAUGUGGAAUGGACUUCAAGACCCAUAGAUUGCCAAGAAAUGGGAAUGCAUGAACGUUCGUGAUCCAAUGCUCAAACAUAUACAGGCACAUAGACUGAUGCAAGGGAAUGCAAUAGUAGCAAGCAUAUAAGACCAACUAAACACAUGACACAGUAGCUAUAAGACAAUAUAUAAAUGUAGGUGACGUGACCUAGACGUAAGGAGUAACGGUCACAGGACGAAGGGGAACACACUGCAGGGCAUGAAACCAAGAACAGAAACAAUAUAGCAGUGACAUGAGAACACCAAAAUGGCCAAAACAUCACUUACAUAUGCAACCAAUACCACAUAGUCACGCACAACGUGGUUGAAGCAAAACAUUGAACACAUGAUGGGCAUGAAGAAUGCAUAUAAGUUUUGCUCCAAUUCAAGUCAAUUAAAAAACACAACGAGCAUUCCCAACCAACCUAACGACCGAGCAUCUAGAAAAAUUCCCAACCACGUGCAGCAAUAAUCACAAUGAACGGCGCACAAAUAAGGCAGUCAAUGAGCAUAAAAAAAUGAAGUUCAAAUGCGCAAAUCAAGCUUAAAGCAAGGAAGUCACAAUCCACACUCCAACAUGCACAAAGAAUGAAGUAAUUGAUGCAAAACGAAACUUAAAAUUCAAAAUCCCCAAAUUGAACUGAAACUAGGGCACGAGAGGCUCUUACCCGAGAUUGGCACGAAGUAAAACCUACACCAAGGUAAUGGAAUGAGAACCCACACACAGGUAAUGAGGAGCAAAACCACCAAGAACGCCAUUAGUGAGGGGAAAUUUGAGAAAGGAAUGGAAGAAAUUUAAAAAAAAAAUGAAGUUUAACCCAAUCGCGAGAAAACAAAAAAGCUCACUGUCGCUCGAGCGACAAGCAAUCUGCUUCUAUCGCUCAAGCGAGCUGCUAGCGGCAAGCGAGCGACGGGUAAAUUGUCAAAAAUAGCACCAAGUUUUGAAAAUUGAAAAAUCCAGCACCAUGUUUGGAACUUUGAAAUGUAGCACCACUUUAGAAACUUUCAAAAUUAGCACCAUUUAUAGAAAUUUGAAUUUUGACCCCAAUUUUUUUUUAUUUAAUAGGAAAUAUACACAUGUAGUAAGUCCAAUCAAAAUGCAGUAGAUCACAAAUACGGCAUGCUCUAUGAUUAGAAAAUGUUUCUCCACACACCGGAACUAAGUACAGAUGGAGUAAAUUGCAUAUAUGACCCCAUGUGAAACGUGCCAAUCAUUCCAUGCAAGUAAGACUCAAAAACUUAAAUUUGUGAGAAGAAACAACCAAAUCAUCGAUGUGUGAGUCAACAUCCAUAUGUUUGAAGGUCAAAUCCAAUACCACUAGGACCUAUAAUUCACUGAAAUAUGGUGUAAAAUUGUUUUUUCUCCCCUUGUCAUCAAGGACCUUCAAAAUUUUUUUAUUUUUGUUAAAAUCUUUUGUGCAAUCUCAUCUCCAUUAAGCUAUUAAGAAGACCUCUGUAAGAGCGUUGGGUCGGUGACUCCCAAACCAGUUAGCUUUAGGGCACCAGGUUAUGAAAAAUCCCUCAGACUGAAUUGCUCAAGUCAAUAGGCUUCAAAGAUAGGUAUAAGACGUAAUACAAUAAAUAAUAUUCUUUUGGAUCACUUGGGGGUACACCAGCAAUUAGGUUAUCUAGUCGAAAAUCAAUUCAAACCCAAUGUCAACUCAACGACAAAUGAUAGUCAUCCUAAGUCUCACACUGCGGUCAAGACUCACUCACACGGUCCUGGUUUUUGCUGUGCAGAUAGAAUAUGAAGUGACAUAUACUAAGUACUCCACACAGACUCAAUAUAAGUGAUGGGAAUUAGAAACUAAUCAUGUAUGGAAUGCAUCUUUGAUCCCAAAUUGCAAGUCCAAGUUAAUAUAUAUAUAAUUUUUUUUUAAAAGCCAAAAUGAAAGACAAAUGCAAGUAAAAACAAUCAAGCAAUGCCAUGAAUGCAGAAAUGAAUUAUUGAAAUAAACUAAACAUGCAUGCAUCUAUGAAGACGAUCAAUGAAGAACACAGAUGCCAACAGCCUUCCUAAGUGACUCGAACCUCAACUCAGCUAGAGGUUUAGUGAACAGAUCGACAAGUUGAUUUUCAGUAGAGAUAUGUUCAAGUGACACCACAUUGGACUCAACUAGCUCUCGAAUAAAGUGAUGACGAAUGUCAAUAUGUUUGGUCCUAGAAUGCUAAACAGGAUUUUUUGAUAUGUUGAUAGCACUGAUAUUAUCACAGAAAACAGUCAUAGUACCCUAAUUUAUCCCAUUAUCACUCAGCAUUUGCUUCAUCCAAAGCAGUUGAGUGCAAUAGCUACCAGCUGCAAUGUAUUCUGCCUGGGCUAUGGACAAUGAGACUGAGUUUUGUCUCUUACUCAUCCAUGAGACAAGAUUAGAACCAACAUAGAAACAUCUAUUGGAGGUACUCUUUCUAUCGUCGGCAUUUCCGGCCCAAUCAACAUCAAAUUCUUGUUUCAUGCAUUCAGCGAAUUCAAGAGCAAGGGAGUCAAUGGGAGAGCCAAAGAUGAUGUCAUCGACAUAGAUAUAUGCUACAAUUAUAGUUUCUUCAAUAUAUCUAAUGAAUAAGGUUUUGUCAGCACCACCUCGUGAAAACCCAUGCUCAACUAGGUAAGUGGUAAGUCUGUCAUAUAUAGUGCUUUAUUGAGUUUGUAGACAUAAUGAGGAAACUUAGGGUUAAUGAAUCCUUUUGGCUAUUCAAUAUACACCUCUUCUUGCAGUAUUCCAUUUAAGAAUGCACUCUUAACAUCCAUUUGAUAUAACUUGAACCCAAGGUACAAGCAACCACAAGAAGAAUGCGAAUGGACUCAAGACGAGCAACAGGGGCAAAUGUCUCAUCAAAAUCUACCCCUUCAACCUGAGUGUACUCCUGGGCAACUAGUCUAGCCAUAUUUCUAGUUAUGGUACCUUGGUCAUCAAUUUUGUUCUUGAAAAUCCACUUAGUACCUAUCACAUUACAAUCAUCAGGCCUAGGAACUAGAUACCAAACAUUAUUUCAAACAAAUUGAUUAAGCUCCUCAUGUAUGGCAUUCACCCAACAUUCAUCUCUAAGGGCUUCCUCUACUUUCUUAGGUUCAAUCUGGGAUACAUAGCUAGUAUAUGUUAGAUUAUUUAGAACUCUCUUUCGUAACCUCAUACCUUCAUCUAAGUCCCUAAUGAUGUUAACCUUAGGAUGAUUAGAUUUGACCUUGGAAGAUGGUUCUCUAGGAAGCUUAGAUUAAUCACAAUUUGGUAGACCCGAUCAGAGAUGUCUACACCUUUAGAGGAGCGUAGAGAUUUUGAAAUUGAUUGCUCUUUAUUUUUAGCAGUGGCUACUUGAUCAUCGCUUAGAUCUUAUAUAUCUAGCCCAUUUUCAGCACUCUUUCCCUUAGUGAAGGCAUCAUCAACAACAACAUUUACAGAUUCCAUGACACUCUGAGUACGCAAGUUAUAAACUCGGUAGGCUCUACUGUUCUUAGAAUAUCCUAGAAAAACCCCAUCAUCACUUUUGGAAUCAAACUUGUCUAGAUUUUCUCUAUCCCUCAGAAUGUAACACUUGCUGCCAAACACACGAAAGUAUUUAACAGUAGGUUUCUUGCCCUUCCAGAUCUCAUAGGGAGUCUUGUCUAUUUUCAGUCUAAGGUAUACCCUAUUUACUAUGUGGCAAGCAGUGUUAAUGGCUUUACCCCAGAAAUGCAUUGCUAGAUCCUUGUCGUGAAGCAUGGCCCUAGCCAUUUCUUGAAGCACUCUAUUCUUUCUCUUAACAACUCCAUUUUGCUGUAGAGUGAUUGGUGAGGAGAACUCAUACUUAAUCCCCUCCUCCAAACAGAAGUUUUCAAGAUUGAAGUUUUCAAAUUCUUUCCCAUGAUCACUUCGAAGCCUAGAAAUGGAAAGAUUUUGUUCAAUUUUGAGUCUUUUACAUAAAGACUUAAUCAGAUCACCCGUCUCAAAUUUUUCUCUUAACAGUUCAAUCCAGGUGUAUCUGGAAAAGUCAUCUACCACAAUCAGAAUAUACCGUUUGCCUCCUAGGCUCUCCACUCUAGAUGGUCCUAUUAAAUCCCUAUAGAGAAGCUCUAAGGAUCUAUUUGUCAAGAUUUUCAAGGUUUGCUUAUGGUUUAUCCUGAGUUGCUUUCCUUGUUGACACGACUUGCACACAGUAUUUUCACUUUGAUUAAUUUUAGGUAGACCAUCGACAAUCAUUUUUGACCAAUUUGGAGAGACUUCUGUAAUUAACAUGACCAAUCCUUUGAUGCCAAAGUUCUGACAUAUCAAUUUUAGCACUACUGCACACAUAGUUUGAGUUUGGGAGAACUCUAUAACAGUUAUCACAUGUUUUAACACCUUCAAGAACAACACCACUUGAAGGGUCAUAAACAGUGCAUCUCUUUUGGACAAAACUUACUUCAUAGUCAACAUAAUAGAUUUGACUAAUGCUCAACAAGUUGGACUUAAUACUCUCUACAUAAAGCACAUUAGAUAUUGUAGAAAGUCCAGAAAUGGUGAUGAAGCCUUUACCUUGGAUGGGUACCGUAGCUCCGUCCCCAAAGGUAACUACACCACCGUUGUAGUCAUCAAUGGUAGAGAAUAAGGCCUUGUUACCACACAUGUGUCUAGAACAAGCACUAUCAAGAUACCACAUGCAAAUAUUUUGAGCCUUAUACGCUACAUGAGCAACAAAACAUUUUAGAUUCUCACCAUACUCACCCACAUUAGAUUUCUUUACCCAAACUUUUCUAGAGGUCGAGGUGAUCCUAUUCAACCUUGUUACCAUCUCAGUUAAGUGACUAACCUGAUUUGAAAGGAAGUUUACAUGACUAGGGAUAUCCUGACUUCUAUUCCUAUUUGCUAGCUUUCGACACCUAGGUCUCGUGUAAACUAAAGCACCGCAGUGAUGACAAGUGGGUAUGACCCUAGGUUCAGAUGCACGUGAGUGUUGAUCCUGAAAUUUAGGUGUAGAAAUCUUAGUGGCUCUAGUGGCCUUCAGUUCAGUGACAUUCUUGCCUUUGGAUUCUGGAUUGGUUGAAAUAUUAGACCUGUUCCGGGGACAAAUGUGGUCUUGGACGAACUAGACACAUUACCAUCACUCUUCACAAAUCAUAGACCUUGUCUAUUUCCAGUUGGUUUGUUCAUUCAUAAUAGAUCAUCUAGUUUCUUUGUUCCACUCAUAAACGACUACAGUUGAGUACUGGAUUUCUCUAACUCAUAAGUCAGUGUCUUAACCCUAUCCUCUAAUUUCUCAUUGACACACUUCAACUCACUGAGAUUUUUAGAUGAGACUUGAAGAUCAUUAGUGAUUUUCUCCUUCUCUCUCUCAAGCUCAUCUACUUUCUUAAAUAGGGCUUUAUUUACCUUUUUGAUCUUGAGACUUUCCUUAAACAGAAGUUGAUAAGCUUCAUGUAUAUCCGUCUCAUCCUUAGAAUCAUCACGGGACUUGUUAUUCUCAACCUCCUUCUCAACGUUCUCACUCUCCUUAUCUGACUCACUCUUAACAGUAGAUACAAAAUCUAUAUAGCCCUUUUCCUCUUCACUGCUUGAGGAACCACUUUGAUCACUUGAGUUAGAAUCAUCAUCAGUCAAGGACACAGCUAAUGCCUUGCUCCUUCCAUUCUUUAGAUUUUUCUUAAAGCUAGGACAUUCAUUCCUAUAGUGCCCAAAUCCUUGACACUCAUGACACCUAACCACUUGAGAUUUCUUACCAGGGUUCCUAGCAAUUGAUUUAUCAUUCGUCUCUCUUAGGAAUUUGCUAGGGGCUCCUCUCCUUUUGUCUUAGGGCCAUUCCUUGGCCUUUAAGACUUUCUGGAAUUUUUUUACAAAGUAGGCAAUCUCUUCAUCUCUAAGAGUUUCUAUGUUAGAUGACUCAGACUCCUCUUCCCUAACGGUGUUCAAGGCUAUGGACUUGUUUUUCCUCAGUUGUGAAAUGGUGAGUUCAUAGGUUUGAAGGGGUCCUAUGAGUUCUUCUAUCUUAACUGUGUCUAGGUCCUUGCUUUCUUCAAUAACUGUAACUUUAGGUCUAAGUCUCUUGGGUAAGGACCUAAGAACCUUCCUUAUGAUUUUGGACUCGGGAAUUCUCUCACCUAGGUUGAAAUAGAGUUAACAAUGUCAUUCAAUUUGACAUAGAACUCAUCAAAACACUUAUCAUCCUUCAUCCUAAUUUCUUCGAACCUUGAGGUCAAUAUUUGCAACUUAGAAUUUUUCACAGUUUUAGUUCCAUCAUGCGUUGUCUCUAGAAUGUCCCAUACCUCUUUAGCAGUUUCACACAUUGACACUCUCCUAAACUCUUCAGGAGACACAUACAUAAAUAAUGCAUGGAGACAUUUACUAUUCCAGUUGCAAUCACCCAAUUUAUCCUUAGUCCAAAGGGAAAUGUCAGUUGGGGUUACAACACUAGAAACAAUUGUGGAAGGAGGUUUCCAACCAUUUUGUAUACUCACCUAGACACGUUCAUUUAGGGACUUAAGAAAAGCACGCAUUCUAACCUUCCAAUAGGUAUAGUUGCUUCCAUUAAAAUACGGAGGCACAGAUAGUGAUUGACUCAUCUAGACAACUAUGGGUCAGGACUCGAGAUUUGACUCUGAUACCACUUGAAAUAUCGUAGUUCGACCCAAUCAAUGCCUAGACUAGGGGGUAAAUAUGUGUUUAUGUGGAAUUUUCUUUUUUAAUCAAUCAAUAAUUGCAACACGUCACAAAUAUUAAUUUGUCCAUAUCAGUUCACAUGCUUUACUAUCCUAUGUUUGAAUACCGGUAAUAAAUUAAUAGUAGAAAAGUAAAAACACAAUUGUUUGUUGAUGGAGAAACCCCAAGAUGGGUAAAACUCCGAGCCCAAGCCAGUAGAAAUCCACUAUAAACGAAAAUACAACUUACAAUCUGUCAAACUCAACCCACACUAAUUUUUCUGACCUCUUGACUGUAAUUUCCUAAAAGCCUUCCUGGAAUGCGUGAUCGUGCACUAACUUUUGGCUCCUAGCUCUCUUGGAUUACAUGCUACACCAAUUCCCGGCUCUUGAUUUCGUCUAUCUCCUGUGGAUUCAAGAGAACCGCUUGUUCUCUAAUGAUCAGGACUCCGAUCUCCUUCCUCGAUCUCCAAGAAUCAACAAAAGCACUAGAAGGUUGUGUUGUGGUGUUUGAUGAAUGUAGAUUUGAUGUUUUUAGGUAAUUGUCCAAAUCAAAUAUGGGAUUAAAUGAAUGAAUCAAGUGUAGAGAGUUUUUCUUUAAUUUCAAUCCUUAAGAGAGACAUAUGAAAAUUGACGUAAUUUAAUUUAUAUGAAGUGUAUUGGGACAUUUGGGUCGGGUCAAAAUGUCGAAAAAAGAAAAAUAGGGUUUUUUAGGUAACACCAUCGCUCGAGCGAAAAGCAAGCGACACUAUUUUCGCUCGAGCGAAGUGGGGGCGAGAAGGGAGCAACGACCUUUCUGUUUUUGUCGCUCGAGUGACUACUUGGCGAGCAGCUAGCGAAACUUCAACGACACAUUUUGCCCUACUUCAUAGCUCAAACCCUAACAUACUUUGACAAAAUUACAACUUAGUCCCUCAUCUUUUACACAUGUACAAAUUUACCCCUAACCUUUAAACAUUGACAAAUUGACCCCCAAACUUUUGAACAUUUACAAUUUUACCCUUUUGUUCACAGAAUAGCCAACACAAAAUCUAUCAAUUAGCGUUAGUAUUACUUCUCAAUCUAGCUAGCAUAUUUAUGAUAAUUUGUUUCAAUUUCUAUAUUUCCUAUAUUACGUGCUUUUAUAAUUGGUAUUUGAGUUGUUGAUUUCAAAAAACAGGUUUAACCAGGAACGCAAGAAACUGACAUUCAGCUUGGGUUUAGGUAAAAUAGUUUUAUUUUCACUUCUUUUACUUGUAUUGUAUAGUUUUGUCGCAUAAUGCCAAAGGAGGAGUUUGUGAGAUUUUUAUUGUAUUGGCAAUAAUUGAUAUUUUUUCUUUCCAAACCUACUUGUCUAAUUAUCGGUAGCAAGUGAUAUUUCAACAAACCUCUUGGCUGUAAAUGCAGUUUCCCUAUGUCUGAUUGAGAUAAGGAAGUUCAAAGACAUAUAUAUAUGAUCAAGAUUGGGGGGAGGAACCAUAUCUGAAAAUGUUGGUGAUUCUGGUUGAUCAUCAUCUUUUUCAUAUUCAUUUUGAUAAUGAGGUUUUGGAAUAAUAGGAGUAAAAUAUGCUCUUUUGUAUGAAGAUUGAAAGGAUGAUCUGGGUUUUUCUUCAGAUCUAGUUGAAAAAGACUUAGCAGAAUAAGAUCUUUGAAUCCUUGAAGAUGAUCUUUUGAAAAGAAUCUUAGCUUUUCCAUCUAGAAAAGUAAGAAUUUGAUUUGGAGUUGUUCUAGUUUGAGCAGGAACAGGUGUUUGAACAUUAUCAAAAUUUCAUUCGAGUCCACGGGAUUGAAGUUUCCAUGGAAUUCUUUUUGGAAUUUUGACAUUUGAGUGAAAAUGAUUGACUUCAACUAAAAGAAUUUCAUCUCUUGGUGAAGAAUGAAGAACUCCAAUAUUGAGUUGAGUAUUCAUAAACUUAUAAUAUACUCUGUAUAUUACAGCAAAAGCAUUUGACCUACUAUCAAAUUCAAGAUUUUUUGUUUGAAUAUGAAGAUUGAGAGAAUUGAGAAUUGCUCUAUCAGUAAGUUUGAUAGAAAAGCUUGGAUAACAGUUUGAAAAUACUGGACCACUUUCUAGAUUUGAUUCUAGAAGUGAAAGUAAUGAAUUUUCAAAAUUGAGAUGUCUCUUAUUUCUAAGAGUAAGUAAAAUUGGAACAUCAAGACCAAGUUUAAACAAGGGCUUGACUGCUAUUUGACCUAAUCCAACAUGAAGAUAUUUAAAUUUUUUCCAGUCGGAUUCAAUAGCUUCUUUUGUAAGCAAAUUAACGAAAGAAUUUUGACUAUUAGUUGAAAUAGUUUGUUCAAUAGUUUUGAUAGCAUAAUUUUGGGAAAAAUCAAAUUUUCCUAUUUCAUAGAUGGUAUGUUUAUCUAACUUUGGAAUAGUCCAAUUUUGAAGACGUUCAAUUUGUGCAAUUUGAAGUUCAUGAGAAUUGAAAUCAUUUGAUGCAAAUGAUGCAGAUGCACGAUCAAUUUCUUCUUCUAUUUGAAAAAUAUUUGUUCUAUUCUCAUUUGAUUGAUUUUCACGUCUAUUUCUAGACCUCGAUCUCCUUAACCAAUUAGUAACUCAAGACAUAAUUGAAUAAAAAUGAAAUUACUAUAAAACAAAGUAAAAACAAAAUAAUAGGAUUAACAAAUUCUCACCAAGCCUACAAUGGGACCACCCUUCAAUGCCUACACUGGCAACACGGGCUGACCAAUGCUUAAUAGCAAACGUCCAGGUUUGAACAAGAUUUUCCUAAAUAUCUUGUGCUUAUAGUGUUUGAUACCAAAAUAGCCCAGGGGAAAGAAGAAACAGAAAUAGUGAGAAAGAGAUCAAAUUGAGAAAUGUUUAUUGAAAAUUGUAGAAUUGAAAUACAAUUUUGUAAGUUUAGAGAACAAAAAUAACAAAGAAAAUAAACUUCUAUUGCCAAAUUCGCUCUGCCUUGAAAUGAACUCUUGAAGUUUUCUUUUACUUGAAAUCCGAACUUGAAAUUUCUUUCAUUUGCCAAAAACAAUCUUGAAUAGUUGAGUGGGAGACAAAAUAAUGAAGAAUCUUGAAAUAUGAUACUAGCUUUUGAAUAAUUGAGCCAUCUUUUGAAAAACUUUACAAAGAAAGAUUCCUUCUAUAAUAAAGUUGUCUUUUUCUUGGAAUGGAUGGCAAUCUGUUGAAAAAAACCUGAUUAGUUGGCAUGCAUAAUUUGAAAAGAUUUUCCCUUCAUUUAUUGAUCCGGUAAUUUCUCAAUUCUUCGAGAAAAUCGGGUUCUUGUAGUCAUAUGAUCCUCUUUUCUUGAGCAAGAAAUUAAUCAUAACCUAAAUCAAUUAGGUCAUCACCAUUGUCUGUCUCUUGAGAUUUUUGAUCAGAUUCUUGAAUACUUGAUUUUUAGAAAUUUGUUCAUAAAUUUCUAAUAAUUCUUUUGGAUCUUUGCAUUUUAAUAACAUUAAAAUAGUCCUUUGUUUUUCAAUCAGAAAAUAUGCCUGAUCAUCUUGUUCUUUCGUUGAGAAUUUUGGGACACCCAAAUUUCUUUGUUCUUGAAUCUAUGAUUGAACUGCUUUUGGACAACAAUUUGUUUCUUUGUAUUUAGACCACCAUUUGACUUUGAAUCUUCUGGUAAUCUUUUGAGUGAAGUAUUCAUCAUUUUGAUUCUGCAGUAGAAAGAAAUCCCAGCAAAAAAUCCAGGAAACUUUCAUAUUGAAGGCAAAGUGGAACAAAACAUUUUCUUGAGGCUUUAAAAAUAUUUUAGCCUCUCUUUUGAAGUAUUCAUAUCCUUGAAGAGUAAGACUGAGUAAAAAUUUUUCUUCAAGUCCAUGAUACAAAAAUCAUGUUUGAAACCAUUUUGGAAAAUGAGGAUGACAAUUUUGAUUAAAAAUAAUGAACCAUGAAUGGGUAAUAGGUCUAAAGAAAAAGACUAUGUACCAGGCAUUGAUAUAAUUAAAAUAAUUGAAAUAUUUUAAAAGUUGUAAAAUAUGUUGAAGAGAGCUUAAGUCUCUUUUUUCCCAUGGGUUUUGUCCCCAGUCUUCGUAAGACAAUACCCUAAGAAUACUGAUUUUUGAAAACAUCGUUUCUUCUUUAUUUUGAGGAUCUGGAGUAUGAGAAAUUAUGGCUGAUCUUGUUUUCAAAAGGAUAGUCUCAUAAUAAUCUUGGGAUUUUUUGAAAUUUGAUGGCAUGAACCAAAAAUUGGUUGGAAAAAUGUUUGGAAGACAUUCGUCCAAAUUUUUGUAUCUAUGAAGCCAAUAUGUUUCCAUAUCAAGGGAAUUUUCAAAGAUACUUUUGGUAAAAUAUUGAAAAUUUUGAGAAGGGUUUAUUUGAGGAAGUUUUCCAGAGCUUUGGACGACUUUUUGUAGUUUGAAGGGGUAGCUUUAUUUUGAUUGGGUUUUUUGAUAAGAGUCGAAAGGGUAUUUGAGGAGGAAGAAGCUUCUUGAGCUUCAUUUGGAGAAUGAUCUUUUGAGAGAUCAUUAAUUGAGAAAAAAGGAGUAGAAUUUUUCUUUCUACUUUGUUUCUUUUGAAACGGAUUUUGAUCUUCUUCUUCAACUUGUUUCACACAACUCAUUUUCAUUUUUUUUGUGAAUGAACUCUCUUGUGAGGAAGUCUGCUAAGAAGUUUGAUUUCCCUUGUAUAUAUAAAAUUUCGAAAUCAAAACAGGACAAAAUAGCCUGCCAUCUUACAAAGAUUUGUUUAGAAACAAGAUUUUUCACAUCUUUUUGUAAAACAUCUUUUGAGGCUUUAGAAUCUGUUUUCAAAAUAAAUUUUUUAUUGAUAAGAUCGUCUUGAAAUUUUGAAAUACACAGUACUAUUGAAAGAAUUUCCUUUUUGAUAGUGGAGUAAUUCUUUUGAGGACCGGUCCACAUCCACUGUGAUACCUAACUAACUGUUCUUGAGAUGACCCUAGUGGGAUUUGCUUUAACAUGCCACCAUACCCAAUAUCUGAGGCAUCAGUCUCAAUAAUAAUUGAAGCUGUGGCGUCAAGUAUUGAAAGAUAUGGAAUAUUUUUAAUUGCUUUUUUGACUCUUUGAACUGCAACUGUGUGCUCGUAACUCUAUGGGUCAGGGUUGUUUUGUAGUCUUUUGAAUAAUGGGGCACAGAUUUGACGUAUACUUUUGACAUAAUUGACACAAUCUAAAAAGCGUUGCAAACUUGUUUUAUCUAUGAUUUCAUCUGAAAAUUUGUUAAUGAAAUCAAAACUUCUUUGAAUAGGAGUUAAAGUGUCAUUAUGAAUAUAAUGACCAAGAAAACGUAUUUUUGUUUGAAAUAAAACAAUCUUCUUAGCAGAAAACUGCUAAACCAUUUUUCUUAGUAACAGAAUGAAUGUAUGAAUAUGUUUAGAAUGUUGUUCUAUAUUUUCACAAAAUAUAAGAACAUGAUCAAUGUAAACAAUAAUGAAUUUUGAAAAAGGAUUGAAAAUAUCAUUCAUAAUUUUUUGAAAUUCAAAGAGAGCAUUUUUUAGACUGAAUGGCAUAACAUUCUAUUCAUAUUGUCCAAAAGGAACAUUGAAGGCAGUCUUGUAUCUGUCUUCUUCUUUAAUUUGAAUUUGCCAGAAACCUGACUUAAUAUCAAAUUUUGAAAAGAUGACAGCUUUACAAAAACGAUUCAAAAGAUCUUUCUUUUGAGGAAUAUGAUAUCUAAUCAUUGAAGAGCAGUAUUGAGGGGUUUAUAAUUAAUAACCAAACGAGGAACUCUACGUUCAAUUUCAGUAGAAUUAUUGAUGUAAAAAGCUGAACAGCUCCAAGGAGAUUUACUUGGUCGGAUUAAACCUUUCUCAAGUACAUCAUUUAUUUCUUUAAUACAAAAAUCAAGUAACUCUUUAUUCAUUUGAAUAGGACUUGAUUUUGUAGGAAUAUUUGAUUCAUGAAAAUCAGAAUUGUAAGGAAGAGAAGCAUGUUUCUUUCUAUCCCAGAAGGCAUUUGGAAUGGUUGAACAAAUUUCUUUUUCAAUUCUAUUUUUUAAUUCUGAAUUUUUUGCUUGAAGAAUAGACUCUUGCAAUCUGUUCUCCAUUUUUUGAAAUUGAAUUUCUUUUUUAAGAAAUUGAAUAUGAUUUCUUUUUAAAUUAAUAUUGUUGAUACUUUUUGAAAUAGCAGCCUCUUUUAAAGAAUUAAUAUCUUUAUAAGAAUGAGGAUUUGUAAAUUCAAAAAAUAUUUUUUGAUAAAAAACUUUUGUAGUUAAUCCUUUAUAAUUAGCUUUGAAAGGAUAAAUUUGAACAAUAAAAGGUGUACCAAGAAUAGAUUCUCGAUCCAAAUCCUUUACAAAAUAAAAAAUAGUUUUGAAACAAAUAUUUGAAUUACAAACAUGAGAUUUUGAAAUUUUAUAAUUGAUAUUAAGCUUUUUUUCACUAGCUUCAUAAAGACGCUUAGUGGUUUUUUCAAAGUAUUUUGUAGGAAACAAGUCUUCUUUGAUACAAUUUUGAUCUGCACCUGAAUCAAUAAGAACCUGUGUUGUAAAUUUGAAUUCUUUAUUUACAACAAUGGUCAUAUUGUAAUACCAUUUUUAAAGUUAAAUUUGGUUAAUAACGUUAACCUUUUCUUCUUCAGAUUUGAGAAGUUUGAAAUCAGAAUCUAAUGAACAAUCAGGUGAAAAUUUAGAAUGUUUUGAGGAAACUUUCAAUUUUCCUUUGAAUUUUGAAUAAAAUUCAUCAUUUAAGUUUUUUGCUUUCAUACAAACGACUUCCAUAUGAAUUUCUUUGACUUGAUUUUCAAGGUCUGAGAUUUUAGUUUUCAUACUCUUAAUCUCUUAUUGAAGAUCAGGAAUAGAAGGUUUAGAACCUUUAGAAAAUUCUUUUUGAGGUCGUUUGAGAAUUUGAUUGAUAUUGAUAUCAUCGAAAUCUUGUUUUGAAGUAGAAGGUAAAAGAGAGAAGAGUUUUUUCUUGAGAUUAGGAUUAUCAAUCCUAUCAAUGAUAUCUUGAAUAACUUCUUCUUCUCUAGAUAAAAUAUUUAUAGUUUUACAACCACAAAUUUCUUUUUCUGAGUUUGAAGAAAUAUCAGAUGAAUGAGGAAGAGGAGAAGAUUCAUAAUCAGAAUCUUCUUGAUUAAGAAAAACUUGUUCUAAUUCUGAGUUAGACUCAUUAUCAGAACUUGAUUCAAUAAGAUUGAGAAGUUGAGUUUUAGUAUCUUCAUCAAUUUGAAGAUUACUAAUCUUGGUUUUGAGUGGACAUUUAUUGGAAUAAUGACCAGUCUUAUUGCACUUCUAGUAAGUAAUAUUUGAAGAAUUUUUUGAAUUUUUCUUUUUUGAAAAAGGUUUUCUUUUGUUAGAAAAUUCUUCUGGAUAUUUUUUAAAAUAUUUUCUUUUAGAAAAUUUUCUAUUUUUAGAAAAAAAAUUUGAUUUUGAAGAUGGAGGAAUGAUCUUUUCAUAACCAUAUUGUUCACAAAAAUAUCCAAGUUCUUUUUGACUCUUAGACUUUUCUGCUUUCAAUUUGGCUUUGAGUUUUAAAUCAUUACACAAAUUUAAAGCUUCUUUAUUGAUAAAAUUAAUAAUUUCUCCAUAGGUAAGUGUUUGAAGGUCAUCAAAUUCUUGAAAAAUAGAAUUUUUUUACUCUUUCUGCAAAGAGUUAUGGAAGUCCAGAAAUGAAUUUUUCUUUCCAAAAAGAUUGUUGCCAAUCUUCUCUUAUCAUGAUACGAGAUAAAAACAUAUCUUUGUACCAUCGAAAAUCUUGUAGUUUUGGACAUCUUAAAUUUAUCAAAAUGUCAUUUUGCAUUUGAACAAUAUUUUCUGAAGUACCAAUAAAAAGUUUGAUAAUAGUUAAACCAAGAACGGUAAAACUAUCACUAAUCUCAUUUCCAUUUGUAUCAUUAUUUUCAUCACGUUUGACAGCAGAAAAGAUAAUAUCCUUCUCAGUUUGAGAAAGAUAAUUAUCCCACCAUUGACCAAGUUGUCUAGUGAAUCCAAGAACAAUAUUAUUAGUAGCAUCUCUUCUUGAAGUACCUUUUGUAAGAUAAAUUUUGUAACACAUGGUCAUUUGUCCCAUAAAAUUGAUAAUUUGAUAUUCAGUAAGUCCAUCGAGAUUCCACUCGACACUGAAAUUACCGCCAUAAGUUCUUUGAGGAUUAUCUUUUUCUUCAAAAAGCUGAUCAAGGAAUGAAGGACGAGGAUAAUAUUUUGGAAGAUUUUGAUAGUUAAAUUUUCUCAAUUUAUUAAUUGAAUCAUAUUUUUCAUCAAUAAAUUGAGCUUCAAUUUCAUCAAUGGUAUUGAUGUUUUUUGAAACAUGAAAUUUUUUUAAUUGAGUGGCAAGUUCAGAAAGAAUUUCACUUUCAGUUUGAAGAGUAGAAGAUUUUCCAAAUUAAGGAAUCAAAUCAUUACUUUUGAAAAUUGAAGAGGAAGAGGAUGAUGGUUUUGAUAAAUUCUUAUCUUUACUACUACUUUCUCUAAAUUCUUUAGAAGAAUCUUUUUGAGAAGUAAUAUUCUCAGAUUCAGAAUUUGAUUCGAUACAAUUGAGCUGAGAAAACAUAGAUUGAAGAACAAUAUUAGUAUAAUUGUUCUGAGAUUUGAUAUUUUUGAUAUCCUUAUCAACAACCUAAGAUUCAUCAUAUCGUUCUUUAGGAAUCCUCUUGAGGGGAGAUGCAAUGAUUUCAGUUUUUCCAUGAGGAAUAACUAUUUCUUGCAUAGGAGGACGAGUUGAUUGGAAAGUAUUUCCUUCUGGAGUUUUCCAAGUAUUGACACGAGUUUUUGAAGUAAAAAUUUUUAUUUUUUCUGGCCUUUUACCAAAAACUUUGAAUUGAAUCUAGUCAUAGAAACUUAAAUCAGUAGAAGAUUUGAAAUAAGAUUCUUUUUGUUUUUUUUCUCUGAAAAGUUUUCUAAGAUUUUUGAUACAAAUAACUGAUCAUUUUUGAAUUCUUUUCUUCUAUCAAUUUCAGAAGAAAUAACAUUACAUUAAUGUUCAAGAUUGGAGGAAGGAACCAUAUUUGAAAAAGUUGGUGAUUUUGGUUGAUCAUCCUUUUUUUUAUAUUUAUUUUGAUAAUGAGAUUUUGAAAUAACAGGAGUAAAAUCUGCUCAUUUGUAUGAAGAAUGAAAGGAUGAUCUGGGUUUUUCUUCAGAUCUAGUUGAGAAAAGACUUAGCAGAAUAAGAUCUUUGAAUCCUUGAAGAUGAUCCUUUGAAAAAGAAUCUUAGCUUUUCCAUCUGGAAAAGUAAGAAUUUGAUUUAGAGUUGUUCUAGUUUGAGCAAGAACAGGUGCUUGAACAUUAUCAAAAUUCCAUUCGAGUCCAUGGGAUUGAAGAUUCCAUGGAAUUCUUUUUGGAAUUUCGACAUUUGAGUGAAAAGGAUUGACUUCAACUAAAAGACUUUCAUCUCUUGGUGAAGAAUGAAGAGCUCCAAUAUUAAGUUGAGUUCAUAAGCUUAUAAUAUACUCUGUAUAUUACAGCAAAAGCAUUUGACCUACUAUCAAAUUCAAGAUUUUUUGUUUGAAUAUGAAGAUUGAGAGAAUCGAUAAUUGCUCCAUCAGUAAGUUUGAUAGAAAAGUUUGGAUAAUAGUUUGAAAAUACUGAACCACUUUCUAGAUUUGAUUCUAGAAGUGAAAGUAAUGAAUUUUCAAAAUUGAGAUGUCUCUUAUCUCUAAGAGUAAGUAAAAUUGGAACAUCAAGACCAAGUCUAAACAAGGGCUUGCCAGCUUUUUGAACUAAUCCAACAUGAAAAUAUUUAAAUUUCUUCCUGUGGGAUUCAAUAGCUUCUUUUGUAAGUAAAUUAAUGAAAGAAUUUUGACUAUUAAUUGAAAUAGUUUGUUCAAUAGUUUCGAUAACAUAAUUUUGAGAAAAAUCAAAUUUUCCUAUUUCAUAGAUGGUAUGUUUAUCCAUCUUUGGAAUAGUCCAAUUUUGAAGACAUUGUUCAAUUUGUGCAAUUUGAAGUUCAUGAGAAUUGAAAUCAUUAGAUGCAGAUGCAUGAUCAAUUUCUUCUUCUGUUUGAAAAAUAUUAGUUCUAUUCUCAUUUGAUUCAUUUUCACGUCUAUUUCUAGACCUCGAUCUCUUUAACAAAUUAGUAACUGAAGACAUAAUUGAAUAAAAAUGAAAUUACUAUAAAACAAAGUAAGAGGAUUAACAAGUUCUCCCCAAGCCUACAACGGGACCACCUUUCAACGCCUACACCGGCAACACGGGCUGACCAAAUCUUAAUAGCAAACGUUUAGGUUUGAACAAGGCUUUCCUAAAUAUCUUGUGCCUAUAGUGUUUGACAAUAAUAUCACUUUACUCUCUUAUGGCUCUGAUACCAAAAUAAAGAAGAAACGAUGUUUUCAAAAAUUAGUAUUCUUAGGGUAUUGUCUUACGAAGACUAGAGACAAAACCCAUGGGAAGAAAAGAGACUUAAGCUCUCUUCAAUAUAUUUUACAACUUCUGAAUAUUUCAAUUAUUUUGAUUAUAUCAAUGCCUGGUACAUAGUCUUUUUCUUUAGACAUGUUACUCAUUCAUGGUUCAUUCUUUUUAAUCAAAAUUGUCAUCCUCAUUUUCCAAAAUGGUUUCAAACAUGGUUUUUGUAUCAUGGAUUUGAAGAAAAAUUUUUACUCAGUCUUACUUUUCAAGGAUAUGAAUACUUCAAAAGAGAGGCUAAAAUAUUUUUAAAGUUUCAAGAAAAUGUUUUGUUCUAAUUUGCCUUCAAUAUGAAAGUUUUCUGGAUUUUUUGCUGGGAUUUCUUUCUACUACAGAAUCAAAAUAAUGAAUUCUUCACUCAAAAGAUUACCAGAAGAUUCAAAGUCAAAUGGUGGUUUAAAUUCAAAGAAACAAAUUGUUGUCCAAAAGCAGUUCAAUCAUGGAUUCAAGAACAAAGAAAUUUGGGUGUCCCAAAAUUCUCAAAGAAAGAACAAGAUAAUCAGGCAGAUUUUCUGACUGAAAAACAAAUGAUUAUUUCAAUGUUAUCAAAAUGCAAAGAUCCAAAAGAAUUAUUAGAAAUUGAUGAACAAAUUUCUAAAAAUGGAUCUAAAAAAUCAAGUACUCAAGAAUUUGAUCAAGAAUCUCAAGAGACAGACAAUGGUGAUGACCUAAUUGAUUUAGGUUAUGACGAAUUUCUUGUUCAAGAAAAGAGGAUCAAACGACUACAAGAACCCAGUUUUUUUCGAAGAAUUGAGAAAUUAGCGGAUCAAUAAAUCAAGGGAGAUUCUUUUCAAAUUAUGCAUGCCAACUAAUCAGCUUUUUCUCAAAAUAUUGUUGUCCAUUUCAAAAAAAGAUAACUUUAUUAAAGAAGGAAUCUUUCUUUUUAAAGUUAUUCAAAAGCUGGUAUCAUAUUUCAAGAUUUUUCAUUAUGUUGUCUCCCACUCAACUAUUCAAGAUUCUUUCCAGCAAAUGAAAGGAAUUUCAAGUCUGAAUUUCAAGUAUAAGAAGACUUCAAGAGUCCAUUUCAAGGCAGAGCGAAUUUGACAAUAGAAGUUUAUUUUCUUUGUUAUUUUUGUUCUCUAAACUUACAAAAUUGUAUUUCAAUUAUAAUAAACAUUUCUUUCUCAAUUUGAUCUCUUUCUCACUAUAUAUAUAUAUAUAUUUUUUAUUUUUAUUUUUAUUUUUAUUUUUAUUUUUAUUUUUAUUUUAUUUUAUUUUAUUUUUUUUGGGGGAUAAAUCAACCAUGACAUGUAUUAUUGAGAUGAAAGAAAAAAAUUACAGUAGGAGAGCACAUUAAACUCAUGUUUGGUUUAGAUAAUCGAAUUUUUAGUAAAUUUUGAUAAAAGUUUAUGGAAUGUGUGGUUGAAAAGUUAUGGAUCUCAUGAAAUACAUGGUUAUAAUUAAUGGUUUACUUUGACUUAGAUUUUAUUUUACCUUUUAAGCUGUACCAAAUAGGGACUGAUUAGUUGGAAGAUGAGUUACUUAGAUUGUGAGAUGAGUUACUUAGAUUGUGUUGAUGUUAGUGCAUAUCUCAAUUUCAUAAAAGCUUAAUGAAGACAACAAAAAUUAUUUUAAAAUACACGCAUUCCAAGUUUAUUAAAAUAUAAAACAUAAUACUUGUAAUGAAAGAUGGCUACACAUCGACAGUGUAGUCUCCCAAGCAAAGACUACAGUUUAUUUAAUUAAAACCAAAUUAAUGUAGUCUCCAGCAGAGAUCUACAUUUUUUUUUUUAAUUAAAGUCAGUUUAAUAUCAUGAAACAGAGUUUAUUAACUCAACCAGCUUCUUAGAUAGAUAAGUAAUUUAUCCCCCAGCUUUUUCAGCAAUGCAUCAAGCGAUUGCUAACUCCUUGAUGAAAGCCUCUUCCACUGUUGCACCAGUCAUCACCUCCUCAGUAAUUUUUAUUUUUUUAUUUUUUAUUGUUUGUUGUUGACAGAAUCUUCAAUUCAUGAGGGGAAUUUUAGUAAAAAAUAUAAGGAAGCUUUUUGUCUUGCUAGAUUCAAUCUGGAAGGCAACAUAUCAUUAAGUUUAUGUUCACAUGAUCUUAAUGUUGUUUGAUUUGUUUUGCUGGAUAUGUUAAAGGUGAAGAUUAUUAAGAAUUGAGUGUUGGUUGAUUUCUUUUGUUUCAAAAGGGUACUGAUUAGGAUUUGUGAUGUUAACAGUGAAUACUAAAUGUAAGGUCUGUUUGGAUGCUAAAAAGAUAAGUCUCUAUAAAGGUCGGCCCUAGUACGAUCUCACUCAAAUCAAUAUUACUCGAGUUUAAUAUACAUGAUUAAUUUUGAGCUACCAAACAAGCCCAAUAUUGUUAAGGUAAGCUGAUUUAAUUUAAAAAUUAAUAUUACACAUCAAGUAGUUAUUUUAAUGAGUUAUAACUUGAAUUUGCUUUAUCUAAAUUAACUUUUUCUCAAGUCCACAAUGUGUCAUUUAGUAUGAGUAUCGGAAUGAGUCCAAUAUUGAUAAGAUAAUUUUGAUGCUCUAAUAACUACACAUUUGAUACAAAUAAAUUAUUGAUCCCGAAACUGAUUUUCACUUUAAUCCCUCAAAAUCUCAAAUUUAUUAAAAGGUCCUUGGAUCAAAAUCAAAAGAAUCUAGUUAUGUUUUCACUCACUAAAUAAUCCUAACACGUCACAUUAUCGGCUAAAAAUUAUAUAUUUCUCACUAUUUUGCAAUCUAAUCCCUAAAUUUUGCACUUUUUAUAACUAGAAAUCAUUUUUCUCUUUACGAAUCAUCCUUACAAUAUUCAAAGGACUUCAAAUUAUGCUUCACAAAAAACUUAUUCAUGAUUUCUAAAUUGCACUUCAUUCAAGUUUUUUCAAUUAAUAAUUUUGAAGAUAACUAUAUACAUGACAUUUUUUUUUCACAAACGGGAUAAUUCCGCUAAAUAUUAUGUUAUUGUAGUCUCUAAAGUUGUUGAAAUUUUUUGAUUUUUAUUUUUUUUGCAAUUCUAUCUUUUGGAUUGUUACAAGGCCUCUUGUAAAAUAUAAAUCUAUUAUUUACUUAAACAUUUAAGUAUUUUUCCCGUUUGUAAAAAAAUUAUAUCUAAAGGUCUCAUAACGAUGACUCGUCUAGAGUCUCAAAAUUCUUGGGGCUGCCCUGGUCUCUAUAACUUAUCUCUAUAAUUUGAUCAUUUUGUAUCUUGGUUGUCAUUUUGAGACUGUUCUACUGAAGAGCAUUAUCCACUUUUGGGUAUGCUUAAUGAGGGAAUAGGUAUUGAGAGUGGUCAUGUAAACUAUGGGCAAAAAAUCAUUUGCGUUCAUUUUACUUUUCUACACUAAUUUUUGGUCUUUUUGAUUUUGGGGGUAUAAUCAUUAUUUCUAUUUCUGGGCAUUUCAGUUUAUAAUAAGCAUGUUUGGGGUAGCUUAUAAGCCUGAGAGAGAAAGAAAAUUAUAUGUGAAUCCACAAAUCUCUAUUAGCUAUUUGUCUGGGUGAUUUUCUUUAUCAUGUUAUAAUUGGUGUGAUACAAUCUCAAUUUCUAUUUCUAUUUCAAUUCUAACCAACAUCUUCAUGUCUUGAAUGUCACUUCAAGGAGCAUCCGACAAAAUUUGAACGUCUAUAUCCAAGGGAUAAAAAGCACAAGAUGAGAAAUGAUUUAUUAUUAUUUUCCAAAAAAAGAAACUCUAUCUUCUUUGGUACAAAGUUUCCUAUAUAGAUAUAUUAUCAAAUUUUGUCUCUGAAAAAAUUUAUUUUGUUGGUUCGAGUCCUUAAAAGUGUCAAUUUAUACUGGACUAUGCAUAGUAUCCCUUGAGGCUAGUCUUCUAUGCAACAAGCUCCAUUUAGUGGCAUAGAAUCGUGUUGCUCCGUGGCACAUAAAAUAUUUUAAUUUGAAUUGAAUCUGAAAUUAAAAAGAAAACAAAAAUGUGCUGAGUUUAGGAUUGCCUGUAAUGGUCUAGGAUGGCACAAAAUCUAGGGUUUGUGCCGGAUCCACAAAAGUAUGUUAUGCAUUAACAAGGUAAUUUAUGAGGGUGGCUAAAGUGAAUUCUAAGAAAUGGCAGUAAGAUUACUUUUAUAGGCUGCCAACAUUAUUGAUGGAAAUUUAGGCACAUUGGUACAAAGUGUAAGAUUAGGAGAAUAGAAUAAAGUGGGAUAUAUGUUAGAGAGAUUUGUAUUAAGGUGAAUUACGAAGUUAAUACGGUGUACAAAAAAAUAUUUAAGUACUAAAAAGUAAAAGAUAAAACAAAAAAUAUUGAUAAUAUUUUUAUUUAUAAAUAAUUUUUUAAUCAUAAACUAGUUUUCAUGUAUGAUUAAUUUUUUGACUUGUAAGCCAUUCUUUUCUUAUAAGUAAUUUUUAUUUUGUACUUACAAGUGGAUUUUUACUUUUAGCCAAAUAUUUUAUCAUUAAGUGAAUUAUUUUACUUGUCGUAGAUUUUGAAUUGUAAGUGUAUGUGUUCAUAAAUUUUUACUUAUUAGCAAAUUUUUACUUAGUAAAUAAAUUAUUUAACAUAGAAGUGAAUGUUUUACCUAUAAGUUAAAUUUUUACUUGUAAAUGAAUUUUUAAAUUUAUGAAUGAAUUUUUACUUAUAUGAUAUAAUUGAGACAAAUGUAAAAUUUUGCCUACCACGUGUUAUAUAUCUUUAAGAUAAGAUAUUUCCAAAACUAAUUUUAACUUCACAAAUGGGCCCCCAAGUUUUUGUCCAAAUAUAAAUACGACAAUUACGAGUGAACCAAUAUUUUAAUAAGUGAAGUUUCAGUUUCAUGGUCCUUCAUAUUAAAUGAUGAGCAGGUUCAAAGCUUUUAAAAGGUCUUUCAAUAUAAUUUUGAAAUUGAGUCAAAUGUAAAUAUUUUUCAUGAAUAUUUUUAUAUAGAUGUUUAUCCCAUGUUAUCUAAAUUAGAUUCCAUAUUUUUUAAAAUUAUAAUUGCACAAAUGGUCCUCAAGUCUUCUAUGCAAAUCUAAACACAACAAUCACGGCUGAACCAAAAUGGUCAUAUUAACAAUUAUUGGAUAAGGUACCGAUGCUUUUAAAAGGUCACAACCACAUAUUCAUAUCAAUGAGUGUCAUGUUAUCUAAAAUUUGGAUUAGACAUUUCCAAAACAAAUUUGAACUAAUUGUAGAAGUACUACCAACGUGUUGCGAAUAUAUGAAAUCAAGACUAUCAUUUUUAUCAUGACACAUCCUUUCCAUCACUUGUAGUACAAUUUCACCAUAAAAAAUGUUCGUGCAUUAUUCAGUUCUAAUUAAAUGUAAGAGAAGAAAGAAACAACAUAAAGACUUUAUAUUUAUCUAAAAUAACAAAAUGAUGAAAGGAAAAAGAAUUUCCCUUUCAUCUUCAUCUCUCUAAAACAAGUAGUUGAAAUGCAGAACUAGGACCAUCUCUCUUUCUCUCUCUUAAACUAUCCUCUCUUGCCAUAUUUCCCCACUCUAUAUUCUCAAAACACUAAUUCCACUUGGCCAUUCCCCCAAACCCAAACCUUAUUGAAUAAUAUUCAAUCUUGUAGUAGGGUAAUUGCUAUGUCCACAAGUAAAUCAGUCAUCUGAACAUCUGCCAAGAAAUAACAUUGAAUUUACACAGUGGAAAAAGUUGGGAUUUAAGCAAAUAACUCUUAAACUAGAGAAUUAUAUCAGAAUCGCUUUAGAAAUCAUUGGUUAAUUGGUGUGUCGCAUCUACCCAUAAACAUAACAAUUUUAAUGGUUUGGUUUGGGUUUCGAUACUUUAAUUGCAGUUGGAAACUGAACAUGAAUGAUUAUAUAAAUAUUAAUUUCUUUUUUUCAAAGUUGGUCUAAAUUGAACAUGGAUUGGAUCAGAAAAUUACUAUCUUGACCUCCAAAAAAAUAUGAUAUUAAAAAUUUAUUUUAAAUAUAGGUAAUUGAACGUUAUAAAACCAUUAGGUGUAGAUUUGAUGUUUUUCAAAUGCAAUUGUAUUACUAAAAAUUUUGUUAGAUACAUCAAUUUAAAAUUUUUUUUAUUUAGUUAAAUAACCUUAAGUAAAAUUACAUAAAUAUGGUUUUAAUACAUUUAUCAUGUAAAAUAAUUUAUUGUUAAACCACAAUCAUAAACCUAAUUUUCUUUCUUUCUUUUCCCUCAACAGCCAUGCCAUAGCUUUUCCGUCGGUGGCCUUUGCGUUCUAUCACGAUGGAAAAUAAUUAUGUUUUUAGUCUGACUUUAUACAUGUUUGGGCAGCUAAGAGAGUUCUUUAGGCCGUCUAAUUGAGUUCUGAUAAUCUUGUUUUUAUUUAUUUCAGAUUCUGUUUCCUCUAGGAAGGAUACUUGUAACAAUUUUCAGAUGUUUGUGGUUACAUCAUGUUUGUGGUUACAUCAUUUAUAACACUUAUAAUUGGAGCAAAUGAAGCCAAGGCAGCCGAUUCAAUGUAGGCAAGUAAACAUAAAUUAUUUAAUGUCGUCUUGAAUUCUUACGUUAAACAGGAAGAUGACAUCUAGUAUGAGGCUUUCUACCAAGUGUGUGUCUUUCCAUCACUUGUAUUACAAUUUCUCCAUAAAACUUUUAAAAAAAAUAAAAAUAAAUCAUGCAUUUUUCACUUUUAAUUUAAAUGUAAGAAACGAAAGAAACAACAUAAAGACUUCUUCUUCAUCUAAAAUAACAAAAUGAUAAAAGCAAAAAGAAUUUUCUUUUCAUCUUCAUCUGUCUAAAACAAUUGCAACAGAAAUGUAGAAACCCUGUCUCGCCAUAUUUCCCCACUCUAUAUUCUCAAAACACUAAUUUAAUGAUGUCGUUCCAGCUACGAUAUUUUAAUUGUAGUUGGAAACUCAACAUGAUUGAUUAAAAAUAUUAAAUAAACUAAAUACAAAUAUUAAUUUUUUUUUUUCAAAAUUUGUCUAAAUUGAACAUGGAUUGGACCACAAAUUACUGUCUUAACCUCUAAAAAAAUUAUGAAUGCUAAAAUGUUAAUUUAAAUAUAGGUAAUUUUGUCAAUUGUCACUUACCAACUACCCUAAUUUCCUACACCAAUCAAUCCUUCAUGAUUGAUAGUUCAUACUUUAGACUCCAAACCCUCUUUACACUUGAAAUGUUGAAGGCUAAAAAGCUCUGCAAUAUCAUUGAUUAAUAGAUAUUUUGUAUAUAUGUGUUUAUGUGUUGGGGGGGAGCGUUUGUUUGUUUCAUUGUCAAUAAUGUGGGAAUAAAAAGUGAAUUAAAAAAAAGUACAUCGAAAAACGAAAAUUUAAAACGUAAUAAAACAUAAGGUGUAGGUUUGAUGUUUCUCAUGGGCAAUUCUAUAACUACUACAAAUUUUGUUAGUUACACCACAAUUUUGGGUUUGUUUUUUAUUUACUUAAAUAGCCUUAAAUAAAAUUACAUAAAUGAUGUUUUAAAAUAUUUAUCACAUAAAAUAAUUUAUUGCUACACCAUGAUAAGUGCAUUUUGUGUACUUAACGAGUCAUAUUACUAAGCUUUCAUGUCGUGAAAUUAUUGAAUUUUACUUAUUUUUGAUUACUUUUUGUUUGCUUCAGUGUUUGACCAGUUUUGAAGCAAUUGGAGAAGAAAAUGAUCAAUUGGCUAUUAAAUAGAAGUUUGUGGACCAAAUCUCACUUGAAUAAAAGUUGGAGAAUCAAAAUUGAGAGUGAACUCAAGGACUAAAGUGCACUAAUUUAAAAGAAGUAAGGACUUGAAGGGAAAGUGACACUUAGUUGGGCUUUGAAAUUGGACUUGCAAUAGGAGUGAAAUUGAUGAGGAAUUGGAUUCUUUUCCAGUUGGAGUAAUAAUUGGCAAUUGAUGGGAAUAGAAUUAAGGGGUAAUUACAUAAAUACCCACAAAAUGGGAGUCAUUUAGAAAAAUCAUGAUAAAAGUUAUUUUGAAGUAAAAAAUACGGUAAUUUUUUCAUUUAGUGUUCAACGGUAAUUUUAUUAAAUUGAAUCUGAAAUUAAAAAGAAAGUCAAAUGUGUUGCCCUAGCAAAAACUCAUAUUUUGACGGUUUAACACGACACGACCCGACAAAAAUUAGGGGUUGCGCCCAAUUCAUGGAAGUUGUUUGAGGAGAAUUCACAAAGCAUGCAGGUAGUGAGAUAUUAAUGACCACAAAAGGAAAUAAAAUCAUGUAAGUGUGCAUUAACAAGACAAAUGAGGAGGGCAGCUAAAGUAAAUUCUAAGAAACGACAGUAAAGUAAAUUUAGGGCAUCGUCGUAUAAAGUGCAAGAUCAAGAGAAUAGAAUAAGGGGGGGAUUUGUGUUACAGAUAUUUGUAUCAAGGUGGAUUAUGAUAUACUAUUUUAUAACAGUGUUUGAUAUUAUACCAUAUCAAAAAAAUACUCAUAUAUCAAAAACAUUUUAACAAUAAAUAUACACACACAUACACGUUUCAUAAACUUAUGAGUCAUUCUUUACUUUUCAGUGAAUUUUUAUUUUUAACCGAAUGUUUUAUAUACAAGGUGAAUUUUUAUACUUAUAGUAUAUUUUUACUUUUUCAUAUCAUUGCAUAAUCGAGACAAAUGUAAAAAAAAUAAAAAAAUAAAAAAACUAAAAAAACAUAAAAAAAUUCAAUCAUAUCUCUAUGUCAAUGAGUAUCUCGUGUUAUCUAAAUUUUUUAUUAGGUCCUUGUGCCCUAUUUUUCUUCCAAAAAAACAUCAUUAUUUUUCAAAAGAUAUAUCGGUCCUUUUUUACUUACAUUUUAAUGAAAUGUUGAAGGCUUUCUAUCACAAGAGAGAAAGUAAUUUUCAAAUUAAGCAUCUAUUUUGUAGAAAUUAAAAUUAAUUUCAAUCAAAGCCAACAAUUAAUUUUAACUACAUAUUUUACGGGCCUCAUAACUUUUCAAUCACACAGUUAUCAACUAUUAUCAUAAUUUAUUAAAAUCUAAUUUUAAUCCCCAUCAAAUAGGGGGUCAAAAUUGUGCAUUUUGUAUAAAUUCCAUUUUACUAUCUGAUGAAAGUAAAUUACGUGAACCAUCAAGGGUAAAAUCGAUAAUUUGGAUGAGCUAUAUAUCUAUCCUACUCAACCUACUGUAACGUAAAUUUUAUCGGCCUCAUUUUUAUUAUUUCAAAAGUCAACAUCAUAUCUAGCAAAAUUUCAAAAUAAUAUCCAAAAUAGAAGCAUCUACGGAUAUAUCCUAGACUAAUUUGUACCACAAAUGGUCGCCCAAGUCCUUUGUCUAAAUAAGUCUGAACAUCUACGGAUCUAUUGAAUUAAAUGCUAGAAAAGAAACAACACAAUAUAGAAACUUUUGUUCAUCUAACAUAAUAAAAUAAAAAGGGAAAUUAUUUGUUUUAUAGAUACAUUAUAUAUACGAAGCUUGUUUUCAAAAUGUUUAUAAAUAAUUUAAUUUAUAAAUAAAAUAAAAAUAAGUUGUGGAUAAGUAGCUAGAUAUUACUUAUAGGUCCCAAUAAUUUGUGGGAAAAAAUAAUUUAAUUGUUUAUUAACAGUUUAUAAACAUUAUCUAAACAUAGGAAAAGAAUGAAAGGAGAAUGUUGAUAAAGGAAUUACCUAGAAUGCGUAUGGACAAAAUUUUCCCUUAAGAAAUAAGGCAUGUGCACACAAACCACUUUGACAAAUCAAUUGGAUGGCAGUUAACGAAAAUGAUAAUUUUGUAGUAAAAGAUUCAAAUGAGGACGGCAGGGCUUUUGGAAACAAGGUCCAUACGCAUCUAAUAGGUUUACCUUUUAGAAUGAAACACCAGUCCCAUAUGAAUGCACAAGAAGGAUCUCAAGUUUGCAGUUGAAUGGAUGAAGCUGCCCUAAGUUGGAUCAUGAUGAGGAAAAAAAUUCAUAGUUGGUUCUUAAGAUUUAUGGUUGUAGAAGAAAAAAUUCACCUAACUUUUCCUGAGUGAAAUAAACAAGAUGAUUGAAGAGGUGAAACUGUGGCGUAGGCACAUUAUUCAAUUUAAAGAGAAACGGAAGAAAUCCUAUUUGAGGGCUUUGGACAAUUCGAAGUGAAGUUGGAGAUUCAUAAGAAUCAACAUGGUAUUAGUCAAUUAGAAUAUAAUUUGUAUUCAUAUGUCCACAUAAAGUAGGUUUUUUAGCUUUCUAUUUGUAAUGAAAGUACGUAUAAAUCUAUAUUACAUAAAAACUAAAAUUUCCUUUCGUCUCCCUAUAAAUAAAGUGUUUAUUUCACCAUUUAUUUAUCCCAAAUUUUUACGAUAUUUUUAGCAAAGCACCAUCACAAUCUCGAUGUAUUUUUCAGGCUCCACUAAUAUAAGACAAAGGGCAUUAUAAUUUUUCUACCAAAAUAUGAAUGGAACGUUAGUGAGUACAAGGGAAAAGGACAUAAACUGGACCUCUAAUCAAAAGUACAAAAGAAAAAAAAAUAUUAAAUAGGGAAUUACUACCUCCUAUACUAUAUAAAGAAAGAAUAAUAGAGCCUAAAUACCAUUUAAAGCGGAAGGCCAUAUUUGUGAAUUUGUACAAGGACAAUAAGUCGUCGAGGUAAGUUGAGAAUGCUAUACUCCUAGUGCUGCGUCAAUUGCAUCCAUCUGAAGUAAGUGAAUUAGCAAUAUGGUUUUCCUCUUGAUAUAUGUAUAAAAUAGGAUCACGAUCGAAGGAAAAAGUUGUAUGAUAUAUCUAAGAGUAUUGUGGAUAAACCAUGAUCCUCUACCACUGGUAAUGUAGGUCGUAGCUAUAAAGAAGCAUGUCUAUCCUCAAGUCCUAAAAUCCAAGUCAACAUGCAAGAUGGAUCCAAUCAAGAAGCUUACAGAUCAACAUAAAAUGAAGUGAAGGCACGAAUACCACCAUCUAUUAUAGAGUGACUAAAUAAUAUUCUUCCAUAUUAAAGUGUUAUAUUGUUACUUCUAUAAAAAUAAUAAUACAAUAUUCUUCUAUAAUACUUUUACGAAAUAAAUUUCAUUCAAGAAAACUCAUCUAUCAAUUAGUAUAGACAAAAUAAAAUUUACUUCUUUGUUAUACAAUUCAAAAUUAAGAGAAUACUUAUAUUUUUUUUGAAGAAAAAAAGUGUUUCUUUAUGAGCUCAAUUGUUAAAAUUUUGUGUCUUUCUUUCAACAUAAGAGAAAUUGCUUUUUCCUAACUCAACUUAAUUAGGGAUUCGAAAGCAAAAAGAUGAAUAAGUUUCACUAACUUAGUUGACUAGAACUUCAUGCUGAUAGUAUAAAUAAGUUAGCGGAAAAUAAUAAAGUAGAGAAGUAAUUAAGCAUACGAGCAUUUUAAUAAAAAAAUCAAAACUCUAUAUAUGGGGAAGAACUAGGAUGGUAAUGAAUAAAAUAGUCAUAUAACUAGGGUUGCAGGUAUAUAAUGAUAAUUUAUUAGUAUAUAAUUUUCAGCAAUUUGUUUAUUGUCUAUUUUAAUUAAUAAAUGGUAUUAUUUAUUUCCAAACCUACUUGUCUUAUUAUAGUCAGCAAAUGUUAUUUCAACAAACCUCUAGGAUGCAAAUGCACUUUUCCUAUAUUUGUUUGAGAUAAGGUAGUGAUAAGAAUUUAUUUGUUUAUUUAUUUAUUUAUUUUUUGGGAGGAUAAACCAACCACAUUCCGUGGCAUGUAUUAAUAAAAUGAAAGAAAAAUUAUUACAAUAGGGGAUACAUUAAGCUCCUGUUUGAUUUCGAUAAAUAACAUAAUUUUAGUAGAUUUUUAUAAAAAUUGAUGGCAUGCGAAGUGAGAAAGUUAUAGAUCCUAUGAAAUGUAUAGUUAUAAUUAAUUAUUGAGUUUGAUUUAGAUUUUAGUUGACUUUUGAGUUGGACCAAAGAGGAACUAAAUUAGUUGGAAGAUUUGGUACUCGUAUUAUUUUGAUGUUAGUGUUGAUCUCAAUUUGGUAAAAACUUAAAGAAGACAACAAAAAAUGUUUCACAAUAUACUCAUUCCAAGUUUAUUGAAAUAUACAACAUGAUACGGGUAAAUAAAGAUGGCUACAUUUCCACGAUGUAGUCUCCAAGCAAAAACUACAGUUUAUUUAAUUAAAGCGAGCUUAAUGUAGUCUCCAAGUAGAGAUCUACAGUUUAUUUAACUCAACCAGCUUCACAGAUAGAUAAGUAAUUUAUUCGGCUGCUGUUGCAGCAAAGCAUCAAGCGAUUACUAUCUCCUCGACGAAAGGCUCUUCAUUUGGGCAAAUUUUUCCGCAUGAACACUGGUCGUUAAAUGCUGAGCAGCAUCCUCCUGGAAAACCCUGAAGCUUGCAGAAUUGUUUACAAAGAUCCACGUCACAACGUCGAACUAGAACAUCCUCCACGAGAGGACGACUCGUGAUACGUGGACAAACUCCUGUGCAACGACACGGACCAGAUGGUCCUGGGCAGCAUGCUGGCUUACCAAAAAGUGAGCAAUAUUUUCUACAAAGAUCCCAGUUACAUUGUUUCGCAUCCACCACAAGAGGACCACUCAUAUCUGUUUAAAACAAGGAAAGAGUAUGAGAUACAGAAACACAGUUUAAUAUAUAAUAUAGUCCAAAGUAAACAAAUACGAAUGCUUUGCUAGCCUGCUAUGAAAAUUAAAGUUGUUCUGAUUAUUUCAAAUUUGGUAAAUUAACAUGUAUAUAGUAUGUAACAAGCUAUGGAGUUGAAUAAAUUACGAACCAGUGGACAGGGAAACCAACAGCAGGAGGGACACUAUUGCAAAUGACCUCACAGAGAACUCCAUAAUUAAGAAAGAGAGAGAGAUAAUAGGAAGCUUGAGUGAAAGACUCCCUGCUUGCGUCUCUUUAUAUAAUGUUUUAAGCGUGCUACCAAAAUUGAUAUAAAAUGUUGGAAAAAUGCUUGUUGUACAUUAUCAUAUUUACAUAAUUUUUUACAGAUUGAUGUAUAAUUUUUAAUUUUUUUUAGUUGAAAGAUUUUGACCCAAACAAAUCUCGUCACAUUAUCUGUCUGUAAACAAAUAUGUAAAUUGUGAUAUAUAUGUAGUACAAACUUUUACGUAAAACACAACUUUUUUAAUGGAGGGUUUGCACAAGAUGUUGACACGUGGACUUGUUGAGGCUUUUAGAUUUACUUUUGGAUAACUUUGCAUGUAACUUUUGAGAGAAACUGCUACAGUUUCUUGGUUCUCCUUCUUUCUUGAAAACUUCACUCGAGAUUCCUAAUAUCCUGCUCCUCCUUUCUGACUUUCGGUUUCUUACUUGGUGAAGAUGAUUAAGAACUAACUGUUCUUUGAUUUGUUUUGUUCUAAAUGGGUAGAUUAGGAUUUGUGGUGUUAUCAGGAAUCGUAAACUUAGGGUAUGUUUGGAUCUAAAAAAAAUUAAGUCACCAUAACUUUAUCUUUUGUAAUUUGACCAUUUUGUAUUUGGAUAUCAUUUUGAGACUGUUCUACUAUAGAGCAUUAUUUUAAUAUUGUGUUUCGUAUUAUACCACAUUAGAAAAAUAAUAUACGAGUACUAAAAGCUGAAAAAAAAAUAUUUUAUGUAUAAAUAAUCUAUAAUCGUAAUUUUAUUGACUAUAUUUUUAUGUAUAGUUAAUUUUUGACUUCUAUGUCAUUCUUUUCUUAUAAGUAAUUUGUAUUUUUGUACUUACAACUAAAUUUUUUUACUUUUAGCCAAAGACUUUACCUGUAAGUGUAUUAUUUUUCUCAUCGUAGAUUUUACUAUUGUUAGUGUAAUUAUGCAUAAUUUUUAGUAAAGUUUUAUUUUCUAUAAAUUAUUUAACAUAGAAGUGAGUGUUUUAUAAAAACCUUAAUUUUUUACUUGUGAGUGAAUAAUUUUUCAAUUUUUGAGUUAAUUUUUACUUGUAUAAAUGGUCUUUUCAUGUCAUUGUAUAAUUGAGACAGACGUAAAGACUAUAAGCACGUUAUACAAAUUUUGGAUUAGAUAUUAAUGGUAAAAAUGGUCCUCAUUUCUUUUGUCCAAAUCUAAGCACAAAAAUCACGUGAACUAAAUCUAGUAAGUGAAGUUUCAGUUUUGUGGUCCUUCAUAAUUAAAGACGAGUAGAUACAAAUUGACGAGAAGACGACACAACUCAAGAUCAUUAAAAGGAUUCUAGAUUGGAUGGAUGUAUUCAUCUUUUUUCUUCUCUAUCAUCAAAACUUUAUAUUCUUGUUAUUGAUUGUGUCCAGCUUAACUCAAUUAUCUACACCAUGUCAAUUCAAAGUUGCUCAUUUUUUGUUAAAUUCUUGUUAUUUGUGUUGCUUGUUUUUUAUUUUAUUAUUUUAUUUUGAUGAUUGUUCAACAUUAAAAUGUGUUUGUGAUUUAUAUUAUUUUCUAGGGGUUCGAUAUAAAUUAGCUUAUGGUAAUAAACAACAUAGGGUAUGCUAGUUGAUAGAAAAAUAUUUGUUUCAUUUCAUCUUAACAUUGCCAGAGUCAUAAUCAUACAGAAGUUGUAUAAUGGAAGUUUGGACAAUCUUUUGAGAAGUUAUGUAGAAAAUGAUACGAAAAUGAGACAUUAUUUUCCAUGAAUUUAAAUUCAUUUAUAAUUAAUUUACUAGCCAAACUACUAAAGAAAGCACACUUAUAGUUGUUUAUGGCCAAUAUCUCUUAAGUGCUUUGGACUUGACUCUACAUCCUGUUACUCAUCAUUCUAGUGGAGACACUAAACAAAGAGAAGUUUAUUAAGAAAAUGCAUGAUCAAGUUCAACAUACGACAUGAAAGAAAAAUGAGAAGUACAUGAAGAUUGCGAACAAGCACCACAAAUUCAUUAUACAACAAGCUUAAUUCCUCAUUUUGUGUAGUGAUAUUUCUUGGGUGUUGAUAACAAGAAGUAUUAAAUAGAGAUAUAAUAGAAAAUUAAGUGAUUAAUUAUACUAUUAACAAGGAAAGAGGCCUAUAAUUUGAGACUAUUACGAAGAAAAUUGGAACCGGAUUAAUAAAAUACUAAUGUGUUGGAGAAAAUACGAGAUUAUAAGUAUAAUUUGAAAUAAAGAAUGCAAGAAAAAUGUAAUUUGCAGAGAAUAGAGAUUUUAAUACAAUAUGGAGAAAGAAUACAAUUUUUUUUAUAUUUACAAUGUUUCUAACUUCUUCUAAAUUAUAAUGAAGAGCCAACUAUAUAUAGGGGAUAUCCAAAACUUAAUAGGAGAGUGAUGGUUGAAGUAGAAUGCAAGAAAUGACAUUAAAAAUUGAAUAGGAGACAAAACAAAGCACACUCCCUAUUUCUAUAUAUUGAGGCGCGGACCCGGUAUUUCAAUAUAAAGUUGUCAGCCCCUACGCCCCUCGUCUCCAUUCCAAACAACUUUCAAGGAUGUUUUUCUUCAUUCCAAAGUCCUUUUCAAGUCUACUUGAAAUUUGGAUUUUUAAAUAGAACCUUAUCUAAAAUUUAUCAAAUAGGCAUUGAACAGGUUUUCCAAAAAAAAUUCCAAAUAGAAUUUCUCUUAACGUACAAAUUUGCCAUCUAUGGCUUUUAAAACUUUUUGUUGAACCAAAAUUCCCCUUAUCUUUUGUUGCCGAAAUGAAAAAUCUUCUUUCCCAUUGAAAAUCCAACUUUGAAAUGUGAAGACGUUUUGAGAAAAUCGAACAACCAAAUGCACAGAUAAGUCACACAAAGUAAUCCUAAAAUCGCAGUAUACACCGUUCUAAAUUCCUAGGGUUUUGUAAGAUUCGCUAUUUUAGAUCAAGAAAAUGUUCAAACGGAUCAAGUCCACGUGUUCUAAUAGGAUAAUCAAUGCAACACGAAUGUAUAUUAACAAAAAAUUAAAAUUCUCACAUAUAUAGUCUCACACAGUGACUAUAUAACAAUUAGAGCAGAAACUUAAUUACCAAUUUGCGAUCAAAUUCAACACUUCAAACAUGGCAAAUAAACCCUAAAUUUCAAGCAUAAGCAAUGUUACCCCUUACGAUAACCAAAUCCUAAUGUCACCCCCACACAAUAACACGCUAAUGCUAAAAUUUAAAUUGGAAUAAACUAAUAUACCAAAGCGUACCAAUCUGAGCUCAUAAAUUACGAGGGAUACAAAUUUAUCACUUUAGAACUACUACUAUUCGUCCUAAAGUCUCCAUUAAUUGCAGGUAUCAAUCAGCCACAAUCGACUCCCGAACGUGCGAAGAAUAAAUCUAUCUAGAUUCCACUGUAUAACCUAAAAUAGAAAACUAAUGACACCAAAAUAUCAGAAAUGAUGUUAGGAAGAAACUGCCUUAAGAGAUCUCCCGCCUGCAAACAAAUCGCGCGCCCUCAAGUGCAGUCAAGUUAUUCUGCUCGUUGGUCUCACUUCUUCAUCGAUCACACGCAUGACAGUUGGUGCCGGACCGCUGUACGUCACACUAGUGAUCUCCGUUUCACCACCACUGGAUUGGGCGAAAAUUGCACAAAUAGAUCUGAUUUUUACAUAGUUUUUUGACAAUUUUUUUAUCCUUUUUUGGCCCGUUUCUACCUAUUUCCUGGAUUUUUUUGGUAUGUUUCACAAAUCAAAUCCACCAUCUUGAAGCUGUGAUACCAAUUUUCCCUAAAGCUUGCUCUAAGAAUCAUCAAAAUGGUGUUUUUUUAAGCUUAGUUUAGUGUCACCUUUCUCUACUAAACAACCAAUCCAAUUGACUCCAAUUCACAACUUCGGUUGCUUCUUAAACUCACUCACUAAGGACAAGAUAAUGAUAAUGAUUUGCUACCUCAAUGGCAAGAAGAAAACACCACAAAGGAGGCAAGGAAGAGAUCAAAAUCAAGGAGCUAACCAUUGGGUUUUUUUUUACACAAAGGCAACUGACUUUUUCUCUCAAUGGGCAGCCACGUUUUCUUCACUUUUCUCGGACAAAUCAUACUACAAAAUGGCUAGGGUUAGGACCAUAUAAAAAGGGUUAGGUUAGGCUUUUAGUUAGACUAAUAAUAAAGCUAAAUGGGCCAAGAUUCAAAGUCAUCCAAGAGGGAAUAUAAAUGGGCCGGGUAGAGCGCUGGAUUUGGUUGUUGGUACUUAUUUCACUCAUCAUUCAAGGCCUAUGAAAUAUAUAUUUCCAUGUUAACAUCAUAGCCCGAAAUUACACAACCCUUAGUGCAGAUCUCAAUUUGAUAAAAACUUAAAGAAGACAACAAAAAUUAUUUUACAAUAUACUCAUUCCAAGUUUAUUAAAAUGCUAAGCAUAAUACUUGUAAUUAAAGAUGGAUACACAUGGACAAUGUAGUUUCCAAGCAGAGACUACACUUUAAUGCAGUCUCUAAGCAAAUAUCUAUGUUUUAUUUAAUUAAAGACAAUGUAAUAUCACGAAACAGAGUUCAUUAAUUCAACAAACUUCUUAGAUAGAUAAGUAAUUUAUUCUCCAACUUUUGCAGCAAUGCAUCAAGCGAUUACUAUCUCCUUGAUGGAAGGCUCCUCCACUGUUGCUCUACUCAUCACCUCCUCAGUAAUUACUUUUUUAUACAGUGCAAUUCAUGAGGGGAAUUUUAGUGCAAAACACAAGGAAGCUUUUUGUCUUGCGAGAUUCAAUCUGCAAGGCAACAUAUCAUUAAGUUUAUGUUCACAUAAACUUAAUAUAAAGGCAAGAUCACACGAUAUUAAAUUCAAGAAACAAGAAAACCUUAAUCAAACAGAAAUAAAACAUUAGAAAAAUGCCACUCUGCCUGAAAAUGUUUUGACACUAGGUGUGAUUGUCUAUCCUCACAAAGUGUGAGGGUUCCACAUGAAUUAAAUAAUGUCCAACCCUCGAGGUGGGUGUGUUCAGUCAUUUCUUAUGUCAAUCAUUAUGUUCCUCUAGCUUGAUCAAAAAAAUUAGGGUCGCGCCAAAUUCACGAAAGUUGUUUGAGGAGAAUUCACAACAUAGGCAAGUAGUGAGAUAUUAAUGACCACAAAAGGAAAUAAAGUCAUGUAUGUGUGCAUUAACAAGACAAUUGAUGUUUAUUUAUUUUAUUUUUAACUGAAUGUACUUUUGAGUCAUUCUUUACUUUUCAGUGAAUUUUUUAUUUUUUAUUUUUAACUGAACGUUUUAUUUACAAGGGGAAUUUUUUUACUUAUAAUAUAUUUUUUACUAUUCAUAUCAUUGCAUAAUUGAGACCCAAAAAAAAAAAAUCAAUCUUAUUUUUAUGCAAAUGAGUGUCUUUCAAAUUAAGCCUCUAUUUUGUAGAUAUUGAAAUUAGGAUUUUAAUCUAAAUCAAUGUCAACAAUUGAUUUUAACCACAUAUUUUAUGGACCUCAAAAAUUUUCAAUCCUGUAUCAACUUUUAUUAAAAUCUAAUUUACUAUCAAACAGGGAUCAAAUUUGUGCAUUUUGUAUUAAAUUCCAUUUUGCUCUAAUGAAAGUAAAUUACGUGAACCAUAGAGGGUAAAAUCGACAAAAUGGAUGAGCUAUCUAUCUAUCCUACUCAACCUACUGAAACGUAAAUUUUGUCGGCCUCAUAUAGAUAUAUAUAUACACACACAAAACGUCCCUACCUUUUGUUUUUUUGGCGCAUUUCAUUCCUACCUUUACCUUUUCUUGUGGAAAACAUCAUUUUCAUCAUUUUUCUCAAUAAAAAGUUAUAAAAGGACUAAUAUUCCCUUCUAUUUAAAUUUAAAAAAAUAAAGAACUAAUUGCAAUCAUAGUUCCAAUUUUUAAAAAAGUUCAAAGGAGAAAGUGGAGGUGGAGAAUUUUUUUUAUCUUUUUAUUUGAAACUACAAUUGCAUUUAGGUCUUUAUUUUUUUUAUUUAAAUAGAACGGUAUAUUAGUCAUUUUAUAGCUUUUUAUUGAGAAAAAUGAUGAAAAUGAUAUUUUGCACAAGAAAAUGUAAAGGUAGAGAUGAAAUACGCCAAAAAACGAAAGGUAGGGACGUUUUCCACAAAAAUCAUGAAAGGAAGGGACGUUUUAUGCUAAUUACCUUACAUAUAUAUAUAUAUAUAGACUAAUUUGUACCACAAUUGGUCUCCCAAGUCUUCUGUCUAAAUAAAUAUAUACACUACAAUCACAAGUGAACAGAAAUUAGAAUAAGUGAAGUAAGUUCUAGUUUCGAUUUUACCAUUUGUACAAGAAAAAUGCACAUAAGGUUUUACAAGUGUUGAGUACCAUAAUUGCUUUGAAAGUCUUUUCAUAUCAUAUAAUUGAGGUAAAUGUAAAAUUUUUCAAACCUUCAUGAAUUAUUGAAUAAAUGUUUGAAAAGAAACGAAACAAUAUAGAAAUUUUUUGUUCAUCUAAAAUAAUAAAAUAAAAAAGGAAAUUAUUUAUAUUAUAGAUAUAUUAUAUAUAAGAAGCAUGUUUCCGAAAUAUUUAUAAAUAAAAUAGAAAUAAAUGGUGGAUAAGUAGGUAUUACUUAUGGUUUCCAAUAAUUUGUGGUUAAAAAUAAUUUGUUCGUUUAUAAAUAGUUUAUAAACAUUAUCUAAACAUAAGGAAAGAAUGAAAGGAGAAUGCUGAUGCGGGAAUUGCCUAGAAUGCGUAUGGAUAAAAUUUUCCCUUAAGAAAUAAGGCCUGUGCACACAAACCAUUUUGACAAAUAAAUUAGAUGGUAGUUGAUGAAAAUGAUAAUUUUUGUAGUAAAAGAUUCAAAAUGGGGACGACAGGGCUGUUGCUAGGAGUUCAACAAAUUCGCACACGGUAUUUUCUUGAAAUUGAUGAAGGGUGUGUGGUGGAAAAUUUGUGUCGAAGCCUUGGUGAACUCCUAGAAAAGGCAACUAAGAAGUUUCGCCAUAAUUUCUAGCUAGGUUAUCGGCAUGGAAGGAUUUGAAAUUUUUAGAACUUAGUGAUUCCACAAGCAUAUAUACAUUAUGGUGGCGUAUGUUGGUUCUCAGUCUUAAGAAUUAUGGUCGUAGAAGAAAAAAUUCAAGACACUUUUCGUGAGUGAAAUAAACAAGAUGAUUGAAGAGACGAAACAGUGGUGUAGGCACAUUAUUCGAUUCAAAGAGAAAUGGAAGAAAUCCUAUUUGGAGGCUUUUGACAAUUCAAAGUGAAGUUGGAGAUUUGUAAGAAUCGACAUGGUAUUAGUCGGUUGGGAUAUAAUUUGUAUUUAUAUGUCAACAUAAAGUAGGUUUUUAGCUUUCUAUUUGUAAUGAAAGUUUUUAUAAAUCUAUAUUAAAUAAAAACUAAAUUUUACUUUUGUCUCCCUAUAAAUAAGUGUUUCUUUCAGCAUUUAUUUACCCCAAUUUUGUAUGAUAUUUUUAGCAAAGCACCACUACAAUCUCAAUAUAUUUUUCACGCUCCGCUAAGUUAAGAUGAAGGGCAUUAUAAUUUUUCUACCAAAAUAUGAAUGGAACAUUAGUAGGUACAAGGGAAAAAGGACAUAAACUUGACCUCUAAUCAAAAGUACAAAAGACAAAAAUAUUAAAUAGGGAAUUACUACCUCCUAUACUAUAUAAAGCAAGAAAAAUAGAGCCUAACAGACCAUACUUGUCAAUGUGUACAGUGACAUUAAGUCAUCGGGCUAAGUCGAGAAGGCUAUACUCCUAGUGCAGCGUCGAUUGCAUCCUUGUGAAGUAAGUGAAUUAGCAAUCUGGUUUUCCUCUUGAUAGAAGUAUAAAAUAGGAUCACAAUCAAGGGAAAAAGAUGUAUGAUAUAUCUAAGAGUGCUGUGGAUAAACCAUGAUCCUCUACUACUAGUGAUGUAGUUAAUAGCUAUAAAGAAAGCCUGUCUAUCCACAAGUCCUAAAAUCCAAGUCGACAGGUAAGAAGGAUCCAAUCAAGAAGCUUGCAGAUCAACAUAAAAUGAAGUGAUGGCACGAAUCCACCAUCUAUUCAAGAGUGACUACCUAAUAUUCUUCCAUAUUAAUGUUAUAUAUUGUUACUUCUAUAAGAAUAACAAUACAAUAUUCUUCUAUAAUAUUUUACGAAAUAAUAAAUUUCAUUCAAGAAAACACGUCUAUCAAUUAGUAUGGACAAAAUAAAAUUUACUGCUUUGUUAUUCAAUUCAAAAUUAAGAGAAUACAUGCCUUAAAACCUUUCGCUCGAGCCUCUUGUCUUGAAUGCAGUCCAUUGCCCAUAAUCUAAUAAGGUAAGGAAGAAUAACAAACUUCAAAACUUCUUCCAUCAUUUCAUUACAAAACCAAAAAACCUGAAAAAGAUGGAUUAUUCUCUAAUCAUGUUGGAGACGGAUUCCUGAACCCUGUUCACGUCAUGUCACGUCGAGGUACAGUAAAAGAAAAAAACAUUAUUCUUUAUGAUCUCAAUUGUUAAAAUUUUGUAUCUUUCUUUCAACAUAAGCGAAAUUGCUUUCUCCUACCUCAACUUGAUUAGAGAGUCGUAAGCAAAAAGAUGAAUAAGUUUCACUAACUCAGUAGACUAGAACUCCAAACCUAAUUGUCUUAUUAUGGGCAGCAAAUGUUAUUUCAACAAACCUUGGGGAUGCAAAUGCACUUUCCCUAUGUUUAAUUGAGAGAAGAUAGUGAUAAGAUUUUAUUUUAUUUAUUUAUUAUUAUUAUUUUUUUUUUUUGGGAGGAUAAACCAACUACAUUAAGUGACAUGUAUUAUCAAAAUGAAAGAAAAUUUAUUACAAUAGGGGAACACAUUAAGCUAAUGUUUGAUUUCAAUAGAUAUCUUAUUUUUGUAGAUUUUGAUAAAAAUUGAAGACAUGCAAGGUGGGAAAGUUAUGGAUCCCAUGAAAUGUAUGGUUAUAAUUAAUUAUUGAGUUUGAUUUAGAUUUUAAUGCACUUUUUGAGUUGGAUGAAAGAGGGAAUAAUUAGAUGGAAGAUUUGAUACUUGAUGCUAGUGCUGAUCUCAAUUUGAUAAAAACUUAAAGAAGACAACAAAAAUUAUUUGACAAUAUACUCAUUCCAAGUUUAUUAAAAUACACAACAUGAUAUAUAAGCACUUGCAGGCGAAUAAAUAAAGAUGGCUACAUUUCCACAAUGUAGUCUUCAAGCAAAGACUACAGUUUAUUUAACUACAGCCAGUUUAAUGUAGUCUCUAAGCAGAGAUCUACAGUUUAUUUAACUCAACCAGCUUUACAGAUAGAUAAGCACUUUAUUCGCCUGCUGUUGCAGCAAAGCAUCAAGCGGUUACUAUCUCCUUAAUGAAAGGCUCUUCGUUUGGGCAAAUUUCUCCACAUGCACACUGGUCAUUAAAUGCUGAGCAGCAUCCUCCUGGAAAACCCUGAAGCUGGCAGAAUUGUUUACAAAGAUCCACGUCACAACGUCGAACUUGAACAUCCUCCACGAGAGGACGACUCGUAAUACGUGGACAACCUCCUGUGCAACGGCACGGACCAAAUGGUCCUGGGCAGCAUGCUGGCUUACCAAAAAGUGAGCAAAAUUUUUGACAAAGAUCCCAGUUACAUCCUCUAGCAUCCACCACAAGAGGACCACUCAUAUCUGUUUAAAAAUACGAAAGAGUAAAGAUAAACAAACACAGUUUAAUACAUAAUACAGUCCAAAGUAAACAAAUACGAAUGCUUUGCUAUGAAAAUUAAAGUUGUUCACGCUAUUUCAAAUUUGGUGAAUUAACGUAGUUGCUAAGCUAUGGAGUUGAAUAAAUUACAAACCAGUGGACAGGGAAACCAACAGCAGGAGGGACACUAUUGCAAAUGACCUCACAGAGAACUCCAUAAUUGAGAAAAAGAGAGAGAUAAUAGGAAGCUUUAGUGAAAUGUGAGUGAAAGACUCCCUGCUUGUAUCUCUUUAUAUAAUGUUUUAAGCGUUCUACCAAAAUUGUUAUAAAAUGUUGGAAAAAUGCUUGUUGUACAUCAUCAUAUUUACAUAAUUUUUUACAGAUUGAUGAUGAGUCAACAAGAAAAUGUGGAAUUUUUAAUUUUUCUUUUUUCAGUUGAAAGAUUUUGACUCAAUCAAAUCUCAUCGCAUCAUCAGUCAGUAAACAAAUAUGUAAGUUGCGAUGUAUAUGUAGCACAAAGGCUUAUGUAAAACACAACUUCUUUUAGUGGAGGGUUUGCACAAGGUGUUGACACGUGGAAUUGUUGAGGCUUUUAGAUUUUCUUUUGGAUAACUUUGCAUGUGACUUUUGAGAGAAACCACUACAGUUUCUUGAUUCUCCUUCUUCUUUCUUGAAAACUUCUCUCGAUUUGAGUCAUUUAUUUAUGUUACGAGAAAUUAAAUUAUCGACAUGUCAUAUUAUUAUCAAAAUUAGACUAGACAUACUCACUCACUCAAUCGUUAUAGAACAUUGCACAAAAGUUGGUCGAGCCUCGAUUAUUACCCUAGUAAAUUGUUGAGGACAAUUUAUUACCAGUGUUGCAAAUAAGACAAUAUAGUGUGUAUAAAAUUGUACAUAUUGCUUAUUAUUAUUAAUAUUAAAUGUGAUCCAGCAUUAAUUUAAAGCUGAAUGCAAGCUGGUGUCUAGACAUUGCCUUUACCAUGAGGAGGCAAAUAUCUUGAAAUUUGAUAUCAUCCUCCCUUCCGACUAACUUCCAAAUGCCCCCAAGUUUAAUUUACUGUAAUUCACUUGUACCAUCUCUCUCUCUCUCUCUCUCUCUCUCUCUCUCUAUAUAUAUAUAUAUAUAUGUGUGUGUGUACACAUAUAAUGAGUAUAACUGUGUUACUUGUAUUAAUGGUCUUUUCAUGCCAUUGUAUAAUUGAGACAGAUGUCAAAACUAAAAACACAUGUUAUACAAAUUUUGGAUGAGAUAUUAAUAGUACAAAUGGUCCUCAUUUCUUUUGUCCAAAUGUAAGCACAAAAAUCACGUGAACUAAAUUUAGUAAGUGACAUUUCAUUUUUGUGGUCCUUCAUAAUUAAAGACGAGUAGAUACAAUAGUUUGAAAGGUCUUUUUCAUAUCAUAGCAUAAUUGCGACAACGUAAAAUUUUUCUAAGCACACUUUUAUAUCAAAGAGUAUUCUAUAUUAUUUAAAUCAGAUUCGAUAUUUUCUAGAAUUAUUUAUACUAAUUGCUCCUCCAUAAUUUUUUUUCCAAAUCUGAACAUAACAUUACGAGUGUACCGAAAUUUUAAUAGGUGAAAUUUUAAGGAUCUAAAUGGGUUACUCAAAAAUUCAAAGGACUGAAUUGAAGAUGUUGAAAACUUUGAGGACCUGGGAUGAAAACACCUUGCGAACGGUGGGUAGGAGGUGUGAACGUUUCAUAGAACCUGUCAUGUCAUGCCUUGCUGCCAAAUUUCCUAGUUCGAGUUGGAAACAUAAUUUUUAAGGUUUGCGGUAUUCCAAUCACACUUUUUUUUUUUCACAUUUUAAAACUUUAAAUAGGACUUCAUAAUAGAUUGUCUUGGAGCUAUUCCAAAAGAAGAAUUCAUCCAUAUAUGGGGCAAAUUGACGACAAGACGACGACACAACUCAAGAUCAUUAAAAGGAUUCAAGAUUGGAUGGAUGUAUUCAUCUUUUUUCAUCUCUCUAUCAUUAAAACUUUAUAUUCUUGUUAUUGAUUGUGUCCAUCUUAACACAAUUAUCUACAUCAUGUCAAUUCAAAGUUGCUCAUUUUUUUUGUUAAAUUCUUGUUAUUUGUGUUGUUUGUUUUUUAUUUUAUUAUUUUAUUUUGAUUAUUGUUUAACAUUAAAAUGUGUGUGUGAUUCUAGAGGUUCGAUAAAAAUAGCUCAUGUUAAUAAACAACAUAGGGUAUGCUAGUUGAUAGAAAAAUCGGCACACCAUCUGAAGUCAAAUGAGAUAAUCUUUGUGAAUAAUAAAUGCUUACGUGUUCAUAAUUUAACUAAAAUUAAUUAGGUUCACAUAUGAGCAUAGAAUUGAUUGACCUUGAUAGUCGAUAGAGGCUUUUUAAUUAAAGCUGGAUCAUAUUUUCAAUUUAGGCAAGAAUUAACAAUUGAGAGGUAAUUGAGAAGUGAAUUAGGAUUACAAUGGGAGAUUGUUGAUCGUUGUGCUUUGCUUGAUAAUUUUACUCUAAGAUCUUAAUAUGCUCUCAAAUCACGUAGUUAAGUUGUUAAUUAGGGGAAAAUUUUCAUAACCUAAAAUAUUAAUCGUGUGUUUUGUUAAAUUUAGUUUUAAUUAAAGUAGAGUCUAUAAUUAACCUUCGUGGGACUACACAUGACUUAUUGAUAAAUGCGGGCUUAUUAAGCUUAUUCGGACCAUUAAACUUAGAUAUUUGCUAUUUUUAUUUGUAAUUUAUUACUUAAAUUUUUUUAUUUUUAUUUUAUAGGUGAAAACUGGAGAUUAAACGAUGAAUUGAAGGAAUUUAUGCGAGAACGAGCUAAAGAUGAAGGCAAACGAAAAAGACGACCAAAGACGCCGCUGAAAGAAGAUUUAAAAAAAAAAUCAGCAAGCGCCCAGCCCGAACAAAGAAUAGAAACUGUGGCGCCCAAGCACCACUGUUCCAGCGCCUAGGCGCCACCUGGGCCGUUUUUAAUUGUUUUCAAUGUUCCAGGGACCAAUGUUGCAAUUUCCUUUAGGUUUUAAGUUCAAACAUUCAACCAAACACAAGAUUUUUCAUUCUUAAACUUGAGGGGCAGCUGGUUCUUCUGCUUCUUCUUCUUGUUUUCUUUCUUUUUCCUUUUUCCUUUCACCUUUAUUUUUUAAGAUAUUUUGAGGAAGAUUGAAACAUGGAAAUGGUGCAUUAGCUUGGAGAAGAUGAUCCAUUGAUAUUGAAGGAUUUUCAACCAUUUCUCUCUUUAUCAAUAAGUUUUUCUUUUCACUUUUUCCAUCAAUGUUUUGUAAGAAAUUGUUAGUUAUUUGUGGAUAUUUCCUGGAUAACUAAUUAUAUUUUGUUAUUGAGGAUUAUUUCAAACCCGAGCUAUGAUUUUCAGUUAAAUUGUGCUUUAUAAUUAUCUUGAUUAAUGUGUUUAAUCCAUUGUGUUAAAUGUUUAUUUUGUUCUUCUUGAUUGUUUAGGUGUACAACUAAAUGGUUAAGUUGUUUCGAUAAUGCUAGUUUGGAAUUAGUAGUACGUAAUAGCUAUUGAUUCUAAAACCUAGUAGCAAUUACAUUUCAAUAGAUUAUGAAGAAUUUUCAAUUGAAUGUAAGUGGAUUAACACUCAAGUUUGUAAACCGAGCUUGCGAGUUUACCAUUAAUUCAAUUCAUCUCUUUUGUCGUAAUGCGUUUGUUAAAUUAAAUUUAGAGAGCUUGUUCUAGGUUGUUUAAUGAAUAGGGUUGAGUAAAGAACUUGUUUUAUUCGACUAACAUGUAAGAAGAGAUUGAGGUAAUUGAGCUUGUAAUUAUUCUCGAAUUGUUGUUAAUCUUGAGAAUGAAAAUUGAUUGUUGUAAUUGACAUGAAAAUCAUUCUCGUGGUGACGAAAUAUCCCCCAAUCACAUUUUCUCGCAUUCAAUCAAGAACUACUUUAUUUAUUUCAGAUUUCAAGUCUUUUCUAGUUUAAAUUUAUCACUUUCCUUAGUUCAACAAACCAAACCCCCCCAUUUAAUCUAUUUCGUCUAUUAUUAUUAAUUUUACUUUUUAGUGUGCAAUUGACAUAAUUGAAUCAAUCUUCUACGGGAAACGACCCUUACUUGCCAUAUUACUAUUUAAAACGACACAUUCAAGUUAAGUAAGGAAAAUUAAUUGGAACGUGAUAUGCAACGUAUCAAUUUUGGCGCCGUGUCGCCGGGGAUUGUUCUAUCAAUUUGUUAAUUGCAAUAUUUUUCUUUUUGUUAUUUUUCUAUUUAUUUUUUUUUCUUUGUCAUUUUGGUUGUGAAUGAGCAAAAAGCCUAUAACACACUACAACCUAAGAUCAAGAAAAGAGGCCGACACAUCGGAGAGUGGAGAAGACAUUUCUCCAACUAGACAUCUAAGGUGAUUGAGCAUUGAAUCCUCAAGUGACUCCGAACACAUAGAGCCUGAAAUGGAGGAUGCAAAUCGGACCUUAAAGGAACUUGUAGCUCUAACUUUUGUUCAACAACCUCUAUGCAUUCAAUAUCCUCAAGUGGAGGUGGGAUUUGAACUAAAGUUCGGGAUGAUUCAUCUACUUCCUAGAUUUCAUGGAUUCGCUGGAGAGGAUCCAAAUAAGCAUUUGAAGGAGUUUCAUGUGGUUUACUCAAGCAUGAAACCUGCGGGUAUAUCGGAAGAGCAAGUGAAAUUGCGGGCAUUCCCUUUUUCUCUUACAGACACUGCUAAGGAAUGGCUCUAUUAUUUGUCGUUCGGUCUUAUUAUCACGUGGAAUGAAAUGCAAAAGAUCUUCUUGGAGAGGUAUUUCCCAACUUCGAAGGCUACAAACAUCAGAAAAGAAAUCUGCAGCAUUCGGCAAUCUCAAGGGAAAAAUCUCUAUGAAUAUUGGGAGAGAUUCAAAAGGCUAUGUGCUAGUUGCCCAAACCACCAAAUCAGUGAGCAAUUACUUCUACAAUACUUCUAUGAAGGAUUGCUCCUGAUGGGGGAAAAUCUCUAUGAAUAUUGGGAGAGAUUCAAAAGGCUAUGUGCUAGUUGCCCAAACCACCAAAUCAGUGAGUAAUUACUUCUACAAUACUUCUAUGAAAGAUUGCUCCUGAUGGAAUAUGAUUGAUGCAGCCAGUGGAGGAGCUUUAAUGGAUAAAACACUGGUAGUUGCUAGGGAUUGAUAGCCAACAUGGCCGCAAACUCACAACAAUUUGGUAGUAGAGAAGCGGUACCGGUUAAACAAGCAAGUAGGUAGGAGCAACCUCUCAAAUUGAAUGACAAUUAGCCGGCCUUACAUCGCUUGUGCAGCAAAUGGCACUUAGGACAAUGCAACAAGCAAAAGUGUGUGGGAUUUGUUCUAUUGUGGGACAUCCUACUGAGGCAUGCCUGACACUACAAGAAGGAGCCUCAGAGCAAGCGAAUGCCAUUGGGAGAUUUCCAAUGCAACAGAGACAGAGAUAUGAUCUAUAUGGGAAACUUUUCGCAAGGUUCAAGUGAACAUACUACUUUUGGAUGCAAUUUAUCAAGUGCCUCGUUAUGCAAAGUUCCUCAAGGAUUUGUGCAUUGACAAGCAUAGAUUGAAAGGUAAUGAAGUGGUAAGUGUAGGGGAAAAUGUCUCAGGGGUCUUGCAAAAGAAACUUUCACCAAAAUGUAAGGACCCUGGAAGUUUUACCAUCCCUUACAUUUAUUGGUAACACUAGGUUUGAAAAGGCAAUGCUAAAUUGAGGAGCAUCUAUUAAUGUCAUGCCAUAUUCUAUUUAUGCUUCCUUAAAUCUAAGAUCACUUAAAAGAAACCGGUGUUAUUAUUCAACUUGCUGAUAGAUUUAACGCAUUUCCGAAGGGUGUGUUGGAGGAUGUUUUGGUGCAGGUAAAUGAAUUGAUUUUUUCGACAGAUUUCUACAUUCUUGACAUGCAAGAUAAACCAAUAUCUUUGUUGCCACCGUUGCUCUUGGGAAGACCAUUUAUGAGGACUGCACGUACAAAGAUAGAUGUGCAUGAUGGUACAUUGACAAUGGAGUUUGAUGGUGAGAUUAUUUGCUUCAACAUCUUUGAAGCAAUGAGGUAUCCUAGUGAUGUUCAUGCUUGUUUUUCAAUUGAUAUAAUAGAUUCAUUAGUACAAAAAGUUUUUGAAUUAUCAAAUGAAGAUGCAUUGGAUACCACUUUGAUUAAAAGCAUUGAUGCUAACAAUCUCACCGGGUUGAGCAAGAAUUUACAAGUGUGCAAGGAUGUUGAAACCGUGGCAUCACUUGAGUCACUACCAAGUAUUCCACUAAGGUAUGAUCUCUCCUAUAUUACUCUUCUGAUAUCUAAAGAGAAACUUUUACCUUUGGUGAUGUAGGCCCCCACUUUGGAACUCAAACCUCUUCCUGAGCAUUUGAAGUAUGUAUAUUUGGGAGAGGAGGAAACACUACCGGUGAUCAUUGCAAAGAAUCUCACAACACUUCAAGAAGAUAGGCUUAUCUGUGUGCUCAAGGAACACAAAAUAGCUAUUGGUUGGACAAUAGCCGAUAUCAAGGGGAUAAGCCCUUCUAUGUGCAUGCACCGGAUAUUGCUCGAAGAUGGAGCAAAGCCAUCAAGAGAAGCACAACGUCGCUUGAAUCCUCCCAUGAUGUAGGUGGUGAAGAAAGAAUUUUUGAAAUUGCUAGACGUUGGUGUCAUCUUUCCCAUCUCCGAUAGCAAGUGGGUAAGCCCGGUCCAAGUUGUUCCAAAAAAGUUUAGAAUCACAGUGGUGACGAAUGAAGAGAAUAAGCUUGUACCAACUCGGGUCCAAACGGGUUGGAGGGUUUGUAUUGAUUAUAGAAAACUUAAUUGUGCAACCCAAAAAGAUCACUUUCCCUUACCCUUUAUUGAUCAAAUGUUGAAAAGAUUAGCAGGCCAUUCUCAUUAAUGUUUUCUUGAUGGUUAUUCAGGUUAUAACCAAAUUGUGAUCGCUCCGGAGGAUCAAGAGAAAACAACAUUCAGUUGCCCGUUUGGCACAUUUGCUUACCGGCGCAUGGCCUUCGGCCUCUAUAAUGCUCCUGCAACCUUUCAAAGAUGCAUGAUAAGUAUAUUCUCCGAUUAUAUUGAUAGCAUCAUUGAGGUCUUUAUGGAUGAUUUUAGUGUUUAUGGUAAUACCUUUGAUAGUUGCCUACAAAAUUUCACACUUUUGCUUAAGAGAUGUAUGGAUGCUAACCUAGUACUUAAUUGGGAAAAAUGUCAUUUUAUGGUUGAUCAAAGCAUAGUGUUAGGCCAUGUCAUUUCUUCCAAGGGGAUAGAAGUUGAUAAAUCUAAAAUUGAUCUAAUUCGUUCUUUACUUCCUCCAACAAGUGUGAGGGAGAUUCGUUCUUUUCUUGGACAUGCAGGAUUUUAUCGAAGAUUUAUCAAGGAUUUUUCUAAAUGUGCAAGACCACUAUAUAGGCUGUUGCAAAAGGAGGCGCCAUUUCACUUUGAUGAAGAUUGUAAAAAGGCAUUCGAAAGCUUGAAGGAACUUUUGACAUCGGCACCCAUCAUUCAACCACCAGAUUGGAACAAACCAUUUGAGUUGAUGUGUGAUGCAAAUGACUUUGCAUUGGGAGCCAUUUUAGGGCAACGAGUUGGAAAGACACCUCAUGUUAUAUAUUAUGCAUCAAGAACUUUUAAUGAUGCCCAACUCAAUUACUCUACUAUUGAAAAAGAGCUUUUAGCAGUUAUUUUUGUCUUAGAAAAAUUUUGUUCAUAUCUUAUUGGCACAAAAGUAACUGUCUUUUCUGAUCAUGUUGCUCUUAAGUACUUGCUUGCCAAGAAAGAGGCAAAACCAAGGCUCAUUAGAUGGAUACUCCUCUUACAAGAGUUCGACCUUGAGAUUAAAGACAAAAAAGAGAGUGAAAAUUCUGUGACCAACCACUUCAAUUGCCUUAUCCAUGAGAAAGAAAGCUUCCCCGAUGAACAAUUGCUUCUCGUCAUGGACACAUCUCCUUGGUUUGCGGAUAUAGUGAACUAUUUAGUCCCUAAGAAAAUUCCAAGUGACUUGACCAUUGCUCAAAGGCAAAAACUCAAGGCGAUGGCCAAAUAUUUUAUGUGGGAUGAGCCGUACUUGUGGAAACACUGUCCGGAUCAAUUGAUAAGAAGGUGCGUGCAUGAAAAUGAAUUUCAUUCAAUACUUACAUUUUGUCACUCUUAUGCAUGUGGUGGACAUUUUGGAGCAAAGAGGACUGCUCUCAAGGUGCUUGAAAGUGGAUUCUAUUGGCCCACCCUAUUCAAAGAUACGUUCUUCUUUUACAAAUCUUGUGAUCGAUGUCAAAGGGUAGGUACGUUGAGAGUCCGAAAUCAAAUGCCACAAACACCCAUACUUUUUGUUGAAAUUUUUUAUGUUUGGGGCAUUGAUUUCAUGGGACCUUUCCCUUUAUCUUAUGGUAACCUUUACAUCAUUCUUGUCGUUGAUUAUGUGUCAAAAUGGGUGGAAGCAAGGGCCACUUGAACUAAUGAUUCUAAAGUGGUUGUAGAUUUUGUUAAAUCCAACAUUUUUGCAAGGUUUGGAACACUAAGAGCUAUUAUUUGCGAUAAAGGACUACAUUUUUGCAACCGUUCCUUUUGGGCCCUUUUGAAAAGAUACAAUAUCACCCAUAAAGUGGCUACACCUUACCAUUCGUAAACUAGUGGGCAAGUCGAAGUGUCUAACCGAGAGGUCAAAUCCAUCCUCGAAAAAACUGUGAAUCCCAAUAGAAAUGAUUGGAGUCUCCACCUCAAUGAUGUACUCUGGGCUUAUAGGACGGCAUACAAAACACCAAUUGGCAUGUUCCCUUAUUGGUUAGUUUAUAGCAAGCCCUUUCAUCUCCCAGUUGAACUCGAACACAAAACAUUUUGGGCAGUCAAGCAAUGCAACAUGAACCUAGGUGCAAUGGGUGAUCAAAGAAAGCUUCAACUCAAUGAACUUGAGGAAAUUCGAAAUGACGCCUAUGAAAGUUCAAUAAUUUACAAGGAAAAAACUAAAGCGUACUAUAAUAAAAUGAUUUCAAGAAAGGCUUUUGUUGUUGGACAAAAAGUCCUUCUUUUCCACUCGCGCCUCAAGUUAUUUCCAGGUAAAUUACGUUCUCGAUGGAUUGGCCCUUUUGUUGUUACUAAUAUCUUUCCUCAUGAUGUAGUAGAAAUCAAAAGCCUUCAGACUGAGAAAGAGUUUAAGGUGAAUGGCAUCAAUUAAAAUCAUAUUUUGAACCCUUCGUACCACAAAACAUGGAGAAAAUGCGAUUGGAGGAUCCAAUCGAAGAAGCAUGAAAGAGGACACUUAUUUUUGUUUUUGUGAAUUUUUGUUGCCAAUGGUCCCCAACCAUCAUCACAGCCAUCAUUGUUAACACCACUAGGGGAGUAUUUGAACAUCUUGCACAUUCAAUUUGUUUUUGCUUUUACAUUGAGGACAAUAUGCAAUUUAAGUUUGGGGGUGAGGUGGUAUGUGCUAAAUUUUUUGUGGAAUUUUGUGGUUUGUGCUAAUUUUGUUCUCACUAAAAACUUAAAAAUUCAGAUUAAACACUUGUUUUUAUGCUUGUUUGUGUUGUUUGAAAGUUUUGCCAAUUGCAUUUUGAGUAUUGCAUUGCAUUGAUUUAUGAAUUGGGAACAUGAAUGCUAAGUGUUGUUUAUUUUCAUCCACUUAUCCCAUGAUAGACUCUUUAUUGAGCACUUGGGUCAUGAGAUUCAUCACAUGCACUUGUUGGUUGCACUUGUAGGUUGUUAAUGAACUUAAAUGACCAUGCUGUUAGAAAUUCUUCAAUUACUCAACCAAUGAAAGGAUAAGUUUAGGGGUGGUUGAACCGGUGAAAGAAAUUAUUUAUAAUUGUAUUAAUUACCUACUCAGUGAUUGAUUUUGUGGAAUGUUCUUAGACUUCAAAUGAAAAGUUAGAUGUUGUUUUCCAUCUAUUGAUAUUUAAAAAAAAAAUCUAUGGGAAAAAGUUGCCUACCCUAAGGAGUGUGAGUCAGCAUUGAGUAAUUUGGCCCUAUGCAUCACCAAUGUGUAGGAGACGAUCUACAAAUGAAGAAGGCUACCCUUAGGGACCAGAGCGAGAACUACCUACAUUGGAAAAAUGAAGAAAAAUAAAAGGGAUGCUAUAAGCAUCUAGGGGUGAUUUUGUUGAAGAAUUGAUGGAUUGUGAGUAAUUUGCCUAACAUGAGUUGUGGUCUAAGCACUCAAAAUUUUUGGUGAAUUAAUACAUGACUAGAUGAUCUAUUUUUUUCGGUUCAAACCAACCAAAUUUGAGAGGGAAAUAUUGAGUGAUUUGAGGGCAACCUUAAGUUUUUGAUACCUUGGGUUAGAGUGAAAAUAUCACAAGUUUGGGGGAGUGUGCAUCCCAUGAGUGAGAAAGGAAAGUUUGACCAUUGAGGGUUGGGAAAAUCACCAAAUUGUGUAUUGCAAUGAAUUGGAAUGACCACACACACACACGAGUCAAGCAUGGUGUAAGUUUAAAAGUGUUUGUUGUAGCAUUUUUGUAAACAUUUCAUAAGUUAUUUACAUAAAUGUAAGAAUUGUAGCAAAGAGUCAAAAUAUCGAACAAUUGGAGUAUUUGUUAUUAUUAUAGUAUUAUCGUUUAGUUUUAAUUUGAGUGUUUGUAUUGCUUUGUUCAAGGACUAACAAAGAUUUAAGUUUGGAGGGUGUGAUAAUGCGGGUUUAUUGCGCUUAUUCGGACCAUUAAACUUAGAUAUUUGCGAAUUUUAUUAGCGAUUUAUUAUUUAAUUUUCUUAUUUUUAUUUGUAUGUGAAAACUCGAGAUUAAACGAUGAAUUGAAGAAAUUUAUGCGAGAAACGAGCUAAAGAUGAAGGAAAAUGAAGAAGACGACCAAAGACGCCACCGAAAGAAGAUUCAAAAAAAUAAUAAUAAUAAAUUCAGCGAGCUCGACCAGCUCGAACAAAAAACAAAAACUGUGGCACCCAGGCGCCACUGUUCCAGUGCCUAGGCGCCACCUGGGCCGUUUUUAAUUGUUUUCAAAGUCUCAGAGACCAAUAUUGCAAUUUCCUUUAGGUUUUAAGUUAAAACAUUCAAUCAAAUACAAGAUUUUUCAUUCUUAAACUUGAGGGGCAGCUGGUUCUUCUUCUUCUUCUUGUUUUCUUUCUUUUUUCUUUUUCCUUUAACCUUUAUUUUUUAAGAUAUUUUGGGGAAGAUUGGAAAAUGGAGAUGGUGCAUUAACUUGGAAAAGAUGACCCAUUGAUAUUGAAGGAUUUUCAACCAUUUCUCUCUUUAUCAAUAAGUUUUUCUUUUCACUUUUUCCAUCAAUGUUUUGUAACAAAUUGUUAGUUAUUUGUGGAUAUUUCCUGGGUAACUAAUUAUAUUUUUUGAUUAUAGAUUAUUUCAAACCCGAGUUAUGAUUUGUUUAAUCCAUUGUGUUAAAUGUUUGUUUUGUUCUUCUUGAUUAUUUAGGUGUACAACUAAAUGGUUAAUUUGUUUCGAUAAUGUUCUUUUGGAAUUAGUAGUACGUGAUAGCUAUUAAUUCUAAAAGCUAGUAGCAAUUACAUUUCGAUAGAUUAUGAAGAAUUUUCAAUUGAAUGUAUGUAGAUUAACGCUCAAGUUUGUAAACCGAGCUUCCGAGUUUACCAUUAAAUCAAUUCAUCUCUUUUGUCGUAAUGCGUUUGUUGAAUUAAAUCUAGAGAGCUUGUUCUAGGUUGUUUAAUGAAUAGGGUUGAGUAAAGAACUUGUUUUAUUCAACUAACAUGUAAGAAGAGAUUGAGGUAAUUGAGAUUGCAAUUAUUCUCGAAUUGUUGUUAAUGUUGAGAACGAAAAAAUAUUGUUGUAAUUGACAUGAAAAUCAUUCUCAUGGUGACGAAAUAUCCCAUAAUCACAUUUUCUCGCAUUCAAUCAAGAACCACUUUGUUUACUUCAGAUUUCAAGUCUUUUUUAGUUUAAAUUUGUCGCUUUCCUUAGUUCAACAAACCAACCCCCCCCCCCAUUUAAUCUAUUUCAUCUAUUAUUAUUAAUUUUACUUUUUAGCAAACCCCCCCCCAUUUAAUAUAUUUCGUAUAUUAUUAUUAAUUUUACUUUUUAGUAUGCAAUUGACAUAAUUGAAUCAAUCAUCUAUCGAAAAUGACCCUUACUUGCCAUAAUACUAUUUAGGACGACACAUUUAAGUUAAGUAAGGAAAAUUAAUUGGAACAUGAUUUGCAACGUAUCAAUUUUGGCGCCGUGUCGCUGGGGAUUGUUCUAUCAAUUUGUUAAUUGCAAUAUUUUUCAUUUUGUUUUUUUUUUUAAUUAUUUGUCAUUUAAGUUGUGAAUGAGCAAAAAACCUAUAACACACUACAACCUAAGAUCAAGAAAAGAGGCUGACACAUCGGAAAGUGGAGAAGACAUUUCUCCAACUAGACAUCUAAUUGAUUUUUCAAAUUGCAAUUUUUGUUCAUUUCAGCAAAACGACACGUAUAUCUCAUACUCUUUAUCUACAUUUUUCAGAGAUUGUCAUACUCCAUAGAAUUUCUAAUUCCAUUGUUUCUGAUCGAGAUUGAAAAUUUUGGUGUCUUUUCUAAUACACUUCUGGAGAAAGAUGCGAACAAAUCUUUGUUUCAUUUCAUUUUACCAUUGCCAAAGUCAUAAUCAUACAGAAGUUGUAUAAUGGGACAAUCUUUUGAGAAGUUAUGUAGGAAAGAAAUACAAUAAUGAGACAUUAUUUUCCCUGAAUUUAAAUUCAUUUAUAAUUAAUUUACUAGCCAAACUACUAAAGAAAGCCCACUUAUAGUUGUUUAUGGCUAAUAUCUCUUUAAGUGCUUUGGACUUGACUCUGCAGCCUGAUACUCAUCAUUUUGGUGGAGAUGCAAAACAAAGUGAUAAGUUCAUUAAGAAAAUGCAUGAUCAAGUUCAAAAGAUGACACGAAAGAAAAAUGAGAAGUACAUGAAGAUUGCAAACAAGCACCACAAAUAUGUUUUGGAUUCAUCUACGAAAAAUAUGGUUUCAUUAAGGAAGCUAUGCUAAACUUCAGUUCAUUUCGAAGUUGACAACUCUUUCAAAGUUCUCCUAAUAAUUUGCAAAAAUGCUUACAAAAUUGAUUUGCCUCCUCUAAAUGUAGCUUAUCUUUCACUAUUCCAUGGUGGAGACAACUUUUAGUUGAUAUCAAGUCUUUUCAACCAAGGAUCACUGACAUAGGAGUGUCAUUGAUUACAAUCUUUGAAGAAGGAUAAGUCAAAGUUCUAUCAUUAGUAUUUUAAUUUUAAAGGACCAAAAGUUUCGGUAAAGUAAAUUCCCAAAUUGAUGCACAGUAAUUUUCAAUGUAAAUCAUGCUAUUUGUACAACUAGUUCAACAAUUGUGAGUUGGCACGGAUCUUGAUCAUUGAUUUGAAAAACUACUUCAAAUUAAUGAUCAGGAUCUUUACACCUCACAUAUUGUCAAACUAGUCGUACAAAUUCAUUAUACAACAAGCUUAAUUCCUCAUUUUGAGUAAUGAUAUUUCUUAGUUGUCGAUAACAAGACGUAUUAAAUGGAGAUAUAUUAGAAAAUUAAGUCAUUAAUUAUACUAUUAACAAGGAAAGAGGCCUAUAAUUUGAGACUAUUACGUAGAAAAUUGGAACUGAAUUAAUGCAAUACCAUUGUGUUGGAGAAAAUACGAGAUUGUAAGUAUAAUAUGAAAUAAAGAAUGCAAGAAAAAUGUAAUUUGCAGAGAAUAGAGAUUUACUACAAUGUGGAGAAAGAAUACAAUUUUUUUGUAUUUACAAUGUUUCUAACUUCUUCUAAAUUAUAAUGAAGAGCCAACUAUGUAUAGGGACAUCCAAAACUUAAUAGUAGAGUGAUGGUUGAAGUAGAAUGCAAGAAAUAACAUUAAAAAUUGAAUAGGAGACAAAACAAAGCCCACUCCCUGUUUUUAUAUACUGAGGCGCCGAUUCCCUAUUUCAAUAUAAAGCUGUCGGCCCCUAGGCCCCUCAUCUCCAUUCCAAACAACUUUGAAGGAUAUUUUUCUUCAUUCCAAAGUCCUUUUCAAGUCUAACACAAAUUUCAACUUUCGGUUAGAUUUUUAAAUAGAACUUUAACUAAAAUUUGUCAAAUAGACUUCAAAUAUAAUUUCUCUUGACGUGCAAAUUUAUUGUCUAUGGUUUUUAAAAAUUUUUGUUGAACCAAAAUUCCUUUCAUUAUUUGUUGCCCAAAUUGAAAAAUCUUAUUUCCCAUUGAAAAAUCCAACAUUUUUAGGAUAGAUCACACAAAGCAAUCCUAAGACCGUAGUAUACACCAUUUUUAGGGCUUCAAAGAUAUGCGAUUUUAGAUCACGGGAAUGUUCAAACGGAUCAAGUCCAGGUGUUCUAACAGGAUAAUCAAUGCAACACGAAUGUAUGUUAACAAAAAAUUCAAAUUCUCACGCAAUGUAGUCUCACAUAGUGACUAUAUGACAGUUAGAGCAGAAAAUUAAUUACUAAUUUGCGAUCAAAUUCAACACUUCAAACAUGACAAAUAACUCCUAAAUUUCAAGUAUAAGCAAUGUUAUCCCUUUACGAUAACCCAAUCCUACUGUCACCCCCACACGAUAACGCACUAAUGAUAAAAUUUAAAUUGAGAUAAGUCAAUAUACCAAAGCGGACCAAUUUGAGUCCAUAAAUUACGAGAGAUGCAAAUUUGUCACUUUAAAACCACUACAAUUCAUCCUAAAGUCUCCAUUAAUUGCAGGUGUUAAUCAGCCACAAUCGACUCCCGAACGCGCGAAGAAUAGAUUUAUCUAGAUUCCACCGUAUAACCUAAAACAGAAAACUAACAACACCAAAAUGUCAAAAAUAAUGUUAGGAACAAGCUGUCUUAAAAGACCUCCGCUUGCAGACACCUCACGCGCCCUCAAGCGCGACCAAGUCAUUCUAUUCGUGGGCCUCAUGUCAUCGUCUAUAACACGCUUGAUAGUUGGCACAUGACCACUGGACGUUACACCAGUGGUCUCUGUUUCACGACCACUAGAUUGGGCAAAAAUUGCACUAAUAGAUCCGAUUUUUACACAGUUUUCUAGCAAUUUUUCGAUUGUUUUUUGGCUCAUUUUUGCCUAUUUCCUGGAUUUUUUUGGUAUGUUUCACAAGCCAAAUCCACCAUCUUGAAAUUCUGAUACCAAUUGUCACAAAAGCUUGCUCUAAGAAUCGUCAAAAUGGCAUUUUUCGAGUUCAGUUUAACGUUACUUUUCUCUACAAAACAGUCAAUCCAAUCGGCUUCAAUUCACAACAUAUAUAUUCACUUCGAUUGCUUCUUAAUCUCACCCACAAAGGACAAGAUAAUGAUAAUGAUAAUGAUUUGUCACCACAACGGCAAGAAGAAAACACCACAAAGGAGGCAAGGAAGAGAUCAAAAUCAAGGAGCUAACCAUUGGUUUUUUUGACACACAAAGGCAACUUACUUUUCUCUCAAUGGGCAGCCACAUUUUCUUCACUUUUCUUGGACAAAUCAUACUACAAAACGGCUAGGGUUAGGACCAUAUAAAAAGGGUUAGGUUAGACUUUUAGUUAGACCAAUAACAAAGCUAAAGGGGCCAAGAUUCAAAACCAUCCAAGAGGAAACAUAAAUGGGCAGGGUAGAGCUUUUGGACUUGGUUGUUGGUACUUAUUUCACUCAUCAUUCAAGGCCUAUGAAAUAUAUAUUCCCAUGUUAACAUCAUAGCCUGAAAUUUAUUGGGUAUCAAAACACAACCCUUAGUGCAUAUCUCAAUUUGAUGAAAACUUAAAGAAGACAACAAAAAUUAUUUUACAAUAUACUCAUUCCAAGUUUAUUAAAAUGUUAAACAUAAUACUUGUAAUUAAAGAUGGACAUAAAUGGACAAUGUAGUUUCCAAGCAGAGACUACAGUUUAUUUAAUUAAAGCAAGAUUAAUGCAGUCUCCAAGCAGAGAUCUACGUUUUAUUUAAUUAAAGCCAAUUUAAUGUCACAAAACAGAGUUCAUUAAUUCAACCAACUACUUAGAUAGAUAAGUAAUUUAUUCUCCAGCUUUUGCAGCAAUGCAUCAAGCGAUUACUAUCUCCUUGAUGAAAGGCUCUUCCACUGUUGCACCAGUCAUCACCUCCUCAGUUCCAGAGUGCAAUUCUUGAGGGGAAGUUUAGUACAAAACAUAAGGAAGCUUUUUGUCUUGCCAGAUUCAAUCUACAAGGCAACAUAUCAUUAAGUUUAUGUUCACAUAAACUUAAUGUGGUUUGAUUUGUUUUGUUUGAUAUGUUGAAGGUGUAAGAUGAUUAAGAACUGAGUGUUGCUUGAUUUGUUUUGUUCCAAAAGGGAACUAUUAGGAUAUUUGGUGUUAACGGUGAAUAGUAAACGUAGGGUCUAUAACUUUACUUGGUGUAAGAUGAUUAAGAACCAAGUGUCGUUUGAUUUUUUUUGUUUCGAUGCUAAAAGAUAAGUCUCUGUAACUUUAUCUCUAUAAUUUGAACAUUUUGUAUGGUUGUCAUUUUGAAUAUUAAAUGAUGAGCAGGUACAUAGCUUUCAAAAGGUCUUUCAAUAUAUUUGUAUAAUUGAGACAGCUGUAAAUAUUUUUCAACAAUAUUUUUAUAUAGAUGUAUAUCCCAUGUUAUCUAAAUUAGAUUCCAUAUUUUUUAAACUUAUAAUUGCACUAAUGGUCCUCAAAUCUUCUAUGAAAAUCUAAACACAACAAUCACAAGUGAACCAAAAUUGUCAUAUUAAUAAUUAUUGGAUAAGGUACCGAUACUUUUAAAAAGUCACAACCACAUCUUUAUAUCAAUGAGUGUCACAUGUUAUCUAAAUUUUGGAUUAGACAUUUCCUAAACAAAUUUGAACUAACUACAGAAGUGUUACCAUCUUGUUGAGAAUAUAUGAAUUCAAGACUAUCAUUUUAAUCAUGACACUUAUCCUUUCCGUCACUUGUAGUACAAUUUCACCAUAAAAAAUGUUAGCGAAUUAUUCACUUCUAAUUAAAUGUAAGAAAAGAAAUAAACAACGUAAAGAUUUUUUUAUUUAUCUAAAAUAAUAAAAUGAUAAAAAGAAAAAGAAUUUCCCUUUCAUCUUCAUCUCUCUAAAACCAUUACAGCUGAAAUGCAGAACAAGGACCGUCUCUCUUUCUCUGGCUUAAACUAUCCUCUCUUGCCAUAUUUCCCACACUCUAUAUUCUCAAAGCACUAAUUCCACUUGGCCAUUUCCCCAAACCCAAACCUUGUUGAUCAAUAUUCAAUCUUGUAGUAGGGUAAUUGCUAUGUCCACAAGUAAAUCAGUCAUCUGAACAUCUACCAAGAAAAAACAUCGAAUUUACACAGUGGAAUAAGUUGGGAUAUAAGCAAAUAACUCUUAAACUAGAGAAUUAUAUCAAAAUCGCUUUUGAAAUCAUUGAUUAAUUGGUGUCAUGUCUACCCAUAAACAUAACAAUUUUAAUGGUUUGGUUUUGGUCUCGAUACUUUAAUUGCAGUUGGAAACUGAACAUGAUUGAUUAAAUUUUUUCAAACAAAGUAAAUAUAAAUAUAAUUUAUUUAUUUUUUUCAACAUUGGUCUAAAUUGAACAUGGAUUGGAUCAAAAAAUUACCAUCUUGACCUCCAAAAAAUAUGAAUAUUAAAAAUUUAUUUUAAAUAUAGGUAAUUGAAGGUUAUAAAACCAUUAGGUGUGGGUUUGAUGUUUUUCAAAUGCAAUUAUAUUAUUAUUUCGAAUUUUGUUAGUCACACCCCGAUUUUAAGUUUUUUUUUUCUUUUUUAUUUACUUAAAUAAACUUAAGUAAAAUUAGAUAAAUAUGGUUUUAAUAUAUUUAUAAUGUAAAAUAAUUUAUUGUUAAACCACAAUCAUAAAUCUAAUUUUCUUUCUUUCUUUUCCCUCAAUAGCCGUGCCAUAGCUUUUCCGUCGGUGGCCUUUGCGUUCUAUCACGAUAGAAAAUAAUUUUGUUUUUACUCUGACUUUAUACAUGUUUGGGCAGCUAAGACAGGUUACUAUUUCAAUCUCUCAGGGCCAUCUUCUCUGGUGAUGUUGUUAUACUUUUGCUGUUCGCGCUGAUUCAGAUUUGUGGAUUCACAUUUCCACAUUUUGGAUCCAUCUUCAAUCAUCGAGUUCUUUAGGCCGUCUAAUUGAGUGCUGAUAAUCUUGUUUUUAUAUAUUUCAGAUUCUGUUUCCUCUAGGAAGGAUAUUUGUAACAAUUUUCAAAUGUUUGUGGUUACAUCAUUUAUAACACCUAUAAUUGGAGCAAAUGAAGCCAAAGCAGCAGAUUUAAUGUAAGCAAGUAAACAUGGAUUAUUUAACCAGUCUUGAAUUCUUACGUUAAAGAGGAAGAUGACGUCUAGUUUGAGGCUUUCCACCAAGUGUGUAUCAGUGUAUCUGUACAUCACUUGUAUUACAAUUUCACCAUAAAAUUAAAAAUUAAAAAUUAAAAAUUAAAAAAUCGUGCAUUACUCACUCCUAAUAUAAAUGUAAGAAACGAAGGAAACAACAUAAAGACUUCUUCUUCAUCUAAAAUAACAAAAUGAUAAAAGGAAAAGAAUUUUGUUUUCAUCUUCAUUUCUCUAAAACAAUUGCAACAGAAAUGUAGAACCAAAACCCUGUCUCGCCAUAUUUCCACCCACUAUAUUCUCAAAAUACUAAUUCCAUUUUUCCAUUUCCCCAAAACCCCAAACCUUAUUGAUGAAUUUUAAAUCUUUAUAGUAGGGUGGUUGUUUUGUCCACAUGUAAAUCAAUCAUCUGAACAUAUACAACUAAAGAAAUGACAUCAAAUUUAUGCAGUAGAAUAAGUAGCGCUAUAAGCAAAAAAAACUCUUAAACUAGAGAACUGCAUCAAAAUUGCUUUUUAAAUAAUCGGUUAAUUGAUGUUGCUUCUACCCAUAAACAUAACAACUUUAAUGAUUUUGUUUGGGCUUCUAUAUUUUAAUUGUAGUUGGAAACUCAACAUGAUUGAUUAAAAAUUUUAAAUAAAGUAAAUACAAAUAUUUUUUUUUUUCAAAAUUUGUCUAAAUUGAACAUGACAUUUUUUUAUCUAAAUCGAAGUCAACAAAAAGUGAUUUGAAAUUCAAACAACAAAUGGAUGUUAGGGCUGAACAACUUCACCUAUUGGUCACCUUUACUUCUAAUAUUAAGAUUCAUACAAUAUAAAGUAUUAUUCGGUUGAAUUCUUCUAUUGUAUUCAAUUUACCCCUCUCGAGUUCUCAUUGAGCCUAUUUAAAUACCUCAAUUCCAUAUCUCUAUGCGAAUUAAACUUAGUUAAACGCACUAAUAGUUCUAAUAAUUCAUUUAUGACCGCAGCAAUUAAUAUAGGCAAACUACACGUUAUAUUAAUUCAACAGAUUUUAAUAUGUGGUCUAAACAAGAAUCUGCAUCUCUAUGCAAUUAUUAUUCACGAAAUCAUUGAGCAACUGGCCAGAAAAUUCAAUGCAUUGAGAAUAUGAUUAAAAUCCACACAUGUAAUUAUAACGAACAAGAAUAUCAAACUAAAGAAAUAAAGGUUCUCAAAUCAGCUACAUUGUUCACCCUAAAAGUAGAUUAGCUACUCAUAGCAAUGAAAUAAAAAUAUGAAGUUCUUAUGAAAGACAUCAUUGGGUUUUGAGUAAGAAUGUAGAAUAAGAAAUCAAUCUUGCACCAAGACCUUCUUCCCUUUCCAAUUUAUGCUUCAACCCUUGAAUAGCUUGUUGUUUUGUUCUCUUCAAUUCUUCUCUUUAAUCUCCAAGUGUGCCUCUUCCUCUCAAUAUGUGAAUCCUCCCUCAAGUUUGAGAAAAAUUGUUUUUAUAUGUGCCUUGUUGUGUGUAAAAGGUAGGAUUUUCAUCAGGACUCCAAAGUGGGCCACAAUUUCGCUUAGGUUACGUAUUGGUGGAGUCGCGGCGCUUGGAAUGCGAUGCUGCAGCGUCGUGUCAAGAAUAAGUGGUGGCACUACAGCGCUAUGGAGUGGCACCACCUCUCUGAUUCUCCAGGCACUGUAGUGCCGGCACCACUUUUCGGACAAACAGCACCUCGUUCAGUAUUUUUAUCAUAAUUUUCUUUCCCAAUAUCCGAUUGAGGCAAUUCAAGUUUUAUUGGAAAUCUAACUCAAAGGGAUACGACUUUGCUUUGGACAUCAUUCUCUAGUUUGAUUGUUUGCUACGUCUGAAUGUGAGAUUGAAAUUCCGAAGCAUAACUUUUUGGUUGGAAAUUGAUUCAUAAUCAUAUUUUGCCUAAAUUUGAUCCCUUUGACAUCUUUCUUCAUCCAAUUGACUCCAAGCACUCUUGAAUCUUCAUCAUGAGGUACAACACAACUUUUGAUUAUUUGCACUUUAGUCCUCGAACUUUGGAUCUCUUACAACUUAACCAUUUUCUCCAAUUUUGCCCACUUUUGCUUCUUCCUUCAAUUUCUUGUACCGUCAUUGAAUUUUACCUAUUCGAGAAAAAAUGUAAUAAUUUAAACCAUAAUUCAUUUGAGAAACAAUUAAAUAUCAUCGUUUUAAANNNNNNNNNNNNNNNNNNNNNNNNNNNNNNNNNNNNNNNNNNNNNNNNNNNNNNNNNNNNNNNNNNNNNNNNNNNNNNNNNNNNNNNNNNNNNNNNNNNNNNNNNNNNNNNNNNNNNNNNNNNNNNNNNNNNNNNNNNNNNNNNNNNNNNNNNNNNNNNNNNNNNNNNNNNNNNNNNNNNNNNNNNNNNNNNNNNNNNNNNNNNNNNNNNNNNNNNNNNNNNNNNNNNNNNNNNNNNNNNNNNNNNNNNNNNNNNNNNNNNNNNNNNNNNNNNNNNNNNNNNNNNNNNNNNNNNNNNNNNNNNNNNNNNNNNNNNNNNNNNNNNNNNNNNNNNNNNNNNNNNNNNNNNNNNNNNNNNNNNNNNNNNNNNNNNNNNNNNNNNNNNNNNNNNNNNNNNNNNNNNNNNNNNNNNNNNNNNNNNNNNNNNNNNNNNNNNNNNNNNNNNNNNNNNNNNNNNNNNNNNNNNNNNNNNNNNNNNNNNNNNNNNNNNNNNNNNNNNNNNNNNNNNNNNNNNNNNNNNNNNNNNNNNNNNNNNNNNNNNNNNNNNNNNNNNNNNNNNNNNNNNNNNNNNNNNNNNNNNNNNNNNNNNNNNNNNNNNNNNNNNNNNNNNNNNNNNNNNNNNNNNNNNNNNNNNNNNNNNNNNNNNNNNNNNNNNNNNNNNNNNNNNNNNNNNNNNNNNNNNNNNNNNNNNNNNNNNNNNNNNNNNNNNNNNNNNNNNNNNNNNNNNNNNNNNNNNNNNNNNNNNNNNNNNNNNNNNNNNNNNNNNNNNNNNNNNNNNNNNNNNNNNNNNNNNNNNNNNNNNNNNNNNNNNNNNNNNNNNNNNNNNNNNNNNNNNNNNNNNNNNNNNNNNNNNNNNNNNNNNNNNNNNNNNNNNNNNNNNNNNNNNNNNNNNNNNNNNNNNNNNNNNNNNNNNNNNNNNNNNNNNNNNNNNNNNNNNNNNNNNNNNNNNNNNNNNNNNNNNNNNNNNNNNNNNNNNNNNNNNNNNNNNNNNNNNNNNNNNNNNNNNNNNNNNNNNNNNNNNNNNNNNNNNNNNNNNNNNNNNNNNNNNNNNNNNNNNNNNNNNNNNNNNNNNNNNNNNNNNNNNNNNNNNNNNNNNNNNNNNNNNNNNNNNNNNNNNNNNNNNNNNNNNNNNNNNNNNNNNNNNNNNNNNNNNNNNNNNNNNNNNNNNNNNNNNNNNNNNNNNNNNNNNNNNNNNNNNNNNNNNNNNNNNNNNNNNNNNNNNNNNNNNNNNNNNNNNNNNNNNNNNNNNNNNNNNNNNNNNNNNNNNNNNNNNNNNNNNNNNNNNNNNNNNNNNNNNNNNNNNNNNNNNNNNNNNNNNNNNNNNNNNNNNNNNNNNNNNNNNNNNNNNNNNNNNNNNNNNNNNNNNNNNNNNNNNNNNNNNNNNNNNNNNNNNNNNNNNNNNNNNNNNNNNNNNNNNNNNNNNNNNNNNNNNNNNNNNNNNNNNNNNNNNNNNNNNNNNNNNNNNNNNNNNNNNNNNNNNNNNNNNNNNNNNNNNNNNNNNNNNNNNNNNNNNNNNNNNNNNNNNNNNNNNNNNNNNNNNNNNNNNNNNNNNNNNNNNNNNNNNNNNNNNNNNNNNNNNNNNNNNNNNNNNNNNNNNNNNNNNNNNNNNNNNNNNNNNNNNNNNNNNNNNNNNNNNNNNNNNNNNNNNNNNNNNNNNNNNNNNNNNNNNNNNNNNNNNNNNNNNNNNNNNNNNNNNNNNNNNNNNNNNNNNNNNNNNNNNNNNNNNNNNNNNNNNNNNNNNNNNNNNNNNNNNNNNNNNNNNNNNNNNNNNNNNNNNNNNNNNNNNNNNNNNNNNNNNNNNNNNNNNNNNNNNNNNNNNNNNNNNNNNNNNNNNNNNNNNNNNNNNNNNNNNNNNNNNNNNNNNNNNNNNNNNNNNNNNNNNNNNNNNNNNNNNNNNNNNNNNNNNNNNNNNNNNNNNNNNNNNNNNNNNNNNNNNNNNNNNNNNNNNNNNNNNNNNNNNNNNNNNNNNNNNNNNNNNNNNNNNNNNNNNNNNNNNNNNNNNNNNNNNNNNNNNNNNNNNNNNNNNNNNNNNNNNNNNNNNNNNNNNNNNNNNNNNNNNNNNNNNNNNNNNNNNNNNNNNNNNNNNNNNNNNNNNNNNNNNNNNNNNNNNNNNNNNNNNNNNNNNNNNNNNNNNNNNNNNNNNNNNNNNNNNNNNNNNNNNNNNNNNNNNNNNNNNNNNNNNNNNNNNNNNNNNNNNNNNNNNNNNNNNNNNNNNNNNNNNNNNNNNNNNNNNNNNNNNNNNNNNNNNNNNNNNNNNNNNNNNNNNNNNNNNNNNNNNNNNNNNNNNNNNNNNNNNNNNNNNNNNNNNNNNNNNNNNNNNNNNNNNNNNNNNNNNNNNNNNNNNNNNNNNNNNNNNNNNNNNNNNNNNNNNNNNNNNNNNNNNNNNNNNNNNNNNNNNNNNNNNNNNNNNNNNNNNNNNNNNNNNNNNNNNNNNNNNNNNNNNNNNNNNNNNNNNNNNNNNNNNNNNNNNNNNNNNNNNNNNNNNNNNNNNNNNNNNNNNNNNNNNNNNNNNNNNNNNNNNNNNNNNNNNNNNNNNNNNNNNNNNNNNNNNNNNNNNNNNNNNNNNNNNNNNNNNNNNNNNNNNNNNNNNNNNNNNNNNNNNNNNNNNNNNNNNNNNNNNNNNNNNNNNNNNNNNNNNNNNNNNNNNNNNNNNNNNNNNNNNNNNNNNNNNNNNNNNNNNNNNNNNNNNNNNNNNNNNNNNNNNNNNNNNNNNNNNNNNNNNNNNNNNNNNNNNNNNNNNNNNNNNNNNNNNNNNNNNNNNNNNNNNNNNNNNNNNNNNNNNNNNNNNNNNNNNNNNNNNNNNNNNNNNNNNNNNNNNNNNNNNNNNNNNNNNNNNNNNNNNNNNNNNNNNNNNNNNNNNNNNNNNNNNNNNNNNNNNNNNNNNNNNNNNNNNNNNNNNNNNNNNNNNNNNNNNNNNNNNNNNNNNNNNNNNNNNNNNNNNNNNNNNNNNNNNNNNNNNNNNNNNNNNNNNNNNNNNNNNNNNNNNNNNNNNNNNNNNNNNNNNNNNNNNNNNNNNNNNNNNNNNNNNNNNNNNNNNNNNNNNNNNNNNNNNNNNNNNNNNNNNNNNNNNNNNNNNNNNNNNNNNNNNNNNNNNNNNNNNNNNNNNNNNNNNNNNNNNNNNNNNNNNNNNNNNNNNNNNNNNNNNNNNNNNNNNNNNNNNNNNNNNNNNNNNNNNNNNNNNNNNNNNNNNNNNNNNNNNNNNNNNNNNNNNNNNNNNNNNNNNNNNNNNNNNNNNNNNNNNNNNNNNNNNNNNNNNNNNNNNNNNNNNNNNNNNNNNNNNNNNNNNNNNNNNNNNNNNNNNNNNNNNNNNNNNNNNNNNNNNNNNNNNNNNNNNNNNNNNNNNNNNNNNNNNNNNNNNNNNNNNNNNNNNNNNNNNNNNNNNNNNNNNNNNNNNNNNNNNNNNNNNNNNNNNNNNNNNNNNNNNNNNNNNNNNNNNNNNNNNNNNNNNNNNNNNNNNNNNNNNNNNNNNNNNNNNNNNNNNNNNNNNNNNNNNNNNNNNNNNNNNNNNNNNNNNNNNNNNNNNNNNNNNNNNNNNNNNNNNNNNNNNNNNNNNNNNNNNNNNNNNNNNNNNNNNNNNNNNNNNNNNNNNNNNNNNNNNNNNNNNNNNNNNNNNNNNNNNNNNNNNNNNNNNNNNNNNNNNNNNNNNNNNNNNNNNNNNNNNNNNNNNNNNNNNNNNNNNNNNNNNNNNNNNNNNNNNNNNNNNNNNNNNNAUCUCUACACGUUAUAUUAAUUUAUCGGAUUUUAAUAUGUGGUCUAAACAAGAAUUCGCGUCUCUAUGUAAUUAUUGAUCAUGAAAUCAUUGAAUAAUAGGCUUGAAAAUUCAAAGUAUUGAGAAUAUGAUUAAAAUUCACACAUGUAAUUAUGACGAACAAGAAUAUCAAAUUAAAGAAAUAAAGGUUCCCAAAUCAGUUACAUUGUUCACCCUAAAAUUAUAUUAGCUACUCAUAGCAAUGAAAGAAACACAUGAAGUUAUUAUGAAAGAUAUCACCGGGUUUUGAAUAAGAAUGUAGAAUAAGAAAUCAAUCUUGCACCAAGAUCUUCUUCCCUUUCCAAUUUAUGCUUCAACCCUUGAAUUGCUUGUUGUUUUGUUCUCUUUAAUUUUUCUCUUUAAUCUCCAAAUGUGUCUCUUCCUCUUAAUAUGUGAAUCCUCCCUCAAGUAUGAGAAAAUUUGCUUUUAUAUGUGCUUGCUGUGUGUAGAAGGUAGGAUUUUCAUCAGGACUCCAAAGUGGGCCAAAAUUUUGCUUAGUUUACGAAUUGGUGAAUGCAGUGCCGCAUCAAGAAUAAGUGGUGGUGCUGCGACGCCACUUCGCUACUUUUCGAACAGACAUCACCUCAUUCAGUAUUUUUAUCAUAACUUUCUCUUCUGAUAUCCGACUGAGACGAUUCAAGUUUUGUUGGAAAGAUAACUCAAAAAACUACAACUUUUCUUCAGACAUCAUUCUCUAAUUCAAUCGCUAUGCUAAAAAUGGGUCUCAAUGUGAGAUUGAAAUUCUGGAGCGUAACUUUUCGGUUGUAAAUUGAUUUAGGAUCAUAUUUUACCUAAAUUUGAUCCAUUUAACAUUUUUCUUCAUCCAAUUGACUCCGAACACUCUUGAACUUCAUCAUGAGGUCCAACACAACUUUUGAGUAUUUACACUUUAGUCCGCAAACUUUGGAUCUCUUACAACUUAGCCAUUUUCUCCAAUUUUGCCCACUUUUGCUUCUUCUUUCAAUUCCUUGUACCGUCAUUGAAUUUUACCUAUUCAACACAAAAUGUAAUAAUUUAGAAAAUAAUUCAUUUGAAAAGCAACUAAAUAUCAUCCUUUUAAAGGUUUGAAUAAGUGUAUAAAAUACACUUAUCAGUAGUACAAAGUGCAAGAAUAGAAUGAAGAUUUGUUGUUUUUUUUUUUUUUUUUUUUUUGGAUGAUCGUGGGUAUUCAAACCAACUUACGUGCACCUUGACUAAUUCCACGGGACCCUGAAAUUUACAGUCGGGUACUCAUUUUAGUAGUUCUAAGGGAAUUCGAACUAGUGACUAUUAAUAAAUAUAUUCAAAGCCCAACCACUGAGCUACCCCUCAGAGUUAAACAAGGAGGGAUUUGUAUUAGAGAUAUUUGCAUCAAGGUGGAUUACAAUAUAUUAUUUUACAACAGUGUCUGAUAUUAUACCAUACCAGAAAAAUAUUCAUAUAUUAAAAAAAUUAUAACAAUAUUUUAUUUAUAAAUACUUUUCUUGUAAUAAAUAUUCAUUUUUUUCCCUUUUACGUUUGAUAAACUUUUAUGUCAUUCUUUAGUUUUCAGUUAUUUUCUAUUUUUUAACCGAAUGUUUUAUUUACAAGGGGAAUUUUUUCUCAUAGUAUAUUUUUACUUUUCAUAUGAUUGCAUAAUUGAGACAAAUGAAAAAUAAAAAAUAAAUAAAUCAUAUCUUUAUUUCAUUGAGUAUGACAUGUUAUCUAAAUUCUUGAUUAGGCCCUUGUACCCCAUUUUUCUUCCGAAAAAAAAAUUAUUAUUUUUCAAAAGAUAGGUCGUUCCCUUUUUAUUUUAUUUUUUUUAUGAUGAAAUGUCGAAGCCUUUCUAUCACACUAGGGAAUUUAAUUUUCAAAUUAUGCUUCUAUUUUGUAGAAAUUAAAAUUAAGAUUUUAAUCUGAAUCAAAGUCAACAAUUGAUUUUAACCACAUAUUUUAUGGGUUUCACAACUUUUCAAUAAUACAUUUAUCAUCUUUUAUUAAAAUCUAAUUUUAAUAUCAGACAGGGAUCAAAAUUGUGCAUUUUGUAUUAAAUCCCAUUUUGCAUCUAAUGAAAGUAAAUUAUGUGAACCGUAAAGGGUAAAAUUGACAAUUUGGAUGAGCUAUUUAUGUAUCCUACUCAACCUACUGUAAAUUUUGUCGGCCUCAUUUUUUUACUUCUAAAGUCAGCAUCAUAUCCUACGGCCUAAUUUGUACCACAAUUGGUCUCCCAAGUCUUUUGCCUAAAUAAAUAUAUACACUACAAUCACAAGUGAACAGAAAUUAUAAUAAGUGAAGUAAUGUCAAAUUUGGAUUUUACCCUUUGUUCAAGUGAGGUUUUACAAGUGUUGAGUACCAUAAUUACCAUAAAUGUAAAAAUUUUUAAACCUUCAUGAAUUACUGAAUAAAUGUUAGAAAAGAAACUAAACAAUAUAGAAACUUUUUGUUCAUCUAAAAUAAUAAAAUAAGAAAGGAAAUUAUUUAUGUUAUAGAUAUAUUAUAUAUAAGAAGCAUGAUUCCUAAAUGUUUAUAAAUAAAAUAGAAUUAAGUGGUGGAUAAGUAGAUUUUACUUAUAGGUACGAAGAAUUCAAUCAAGAAGCUAGCAGAUCAGCAUAAAAUAAAGUUAAGGCACGAAUACCACCAUCUAUUCAAGAAUGACUGAAUAAUAUUCUUCCAUAUUAAUGUUUUAUAUUGUUACUUCUAUAAGAAAAAUAAUACAAUAAUCUUUUAUAAUAUUUUUACGAAAUAAUAAAUUUCAUUCAAGAAAACACAUCUUUCAAUUAGUACAUAUAAAAUAAAAUUUAAUGCUUUGUUAUACAAUUCCAAAUUAAGAGAAUACUCGUAUUUUCUUUGAAGAAAAAGUGUUUCUUUAUGAGCUCAAUUGAUAAAAUUUUGUGUCUUUCUUUCAACAUAAGAGAAAUUGUUUUUUUCUACCUUAACUUGAUUAGAGAUUUAUAAGCAAAAAGAUGAAUAAGUUUCACUAAUUUAGUUGACUAAAAGGGGAACACAUUAAGCUAAUGUUUAAUUUCAAUAAAUAUCACAUUUUCGUAGAUUUUGAUAAAAAUUGAUGGUAUGAGAGGUGGGAAAGUUAUGGAUCACAUGAAAUGAAUGGUUAUAAUUAAUUAUUGAGUUUGAUUUAGAUUUUAAUGCACUUUUUGUUAGAUGGGGCGGGACUAAAUUAGUUCGAAGAUUUGGUACUUGAUGCUAGUGUUGAUCUCAAUUUGAUAAAAACUUAGAGAAGACAACAAAAAUUAUUUCACAAUAUACUCAUUCCAAGUUUAAUAAAGUAUACAACACGAUACCGGUAAAUAAAGAUGGCUACAUUUUCACGAUGUAGUCCCCAAGCAAAAACUACAGUUUAUUUAAUUAAAGCCAGUUUAAUGUAGUCUCCAAGUAGAGAUCUACAGUUUAUUUAGCUCAACCAGCUUCACAGAUAGAUAAGUAAUUUAUUUGCCUGCUGUUGCAGCAAAGCAUCAAGCGGUUACUAUUUCCUUAAUGAAAGGCUCUUCGUUUGGGCAAAUUUUUCCGCAUGAACACCGGCCGUUAAAGGCUGAGCAGCAUCCUCCUGGAUAAUUCUGAAGCUUGCAGUAUUGUAUACAAAGUUCCACGUCACAAUGUCGACCUCGAGCAUCCUCCACAAGAGGACGACUCGUAAUACGUGGACAAGCUGCUGUGCAACGACACGGACCAAAUGGUCCUGGGCAGCAUGCUGGCUUACCAAAAUGUGCGCAAUAUUUUCUACAAAGAUUCCAGUUACAUCGUUUAGCAUCCACCACAAGAGGACCACUCAUAUCUGUUUAAAACAAGGAAAGAGUAUAAGAUACACAAACACAGUUUAAAAUAUAAUACAGUCCAAAGUAGACAAAUACGAAUGCUUUGCUAGCUUGCUAUGAAAAUUAAAGUUGUUCUGAUUAUUUCAAAUUUCGUAAAUUAACAUGUAUAUAGUAUGUAACAAGCUAUGGAGUUGAAUAAAUUACGAACCAGACGACAGGGAAACCAACAGUAGGAGGGACACUAUUGCAAAUGACCUCACAGAGAACUCCAUAAUUGAGAAAGAGAGAGAGAUAAU
Molecule: long non-coding RNA, 83920 nt
Filed under: Olea europaea (common olive)
Lineage: Eukaryota; Viridiplantae; Streptophyta; Magnoliopsida; Lamiales; Oleaceae
Description: long non-coding RNA (OEUR_LNC002819)
Source: RNAcentral